UUUUUUUUUUUUCCAAAUGGUUUUAGUAGAGAGACAAUAAUAUUUUCCCCCUUUCCCCCAUCCAAAAUUAUGAAUGCUACAUACCCUCAAAGUUCCGCCUUCUUGAAGGUUUUCCAUGAGCCGUAAAACUUUAUAAACCAUCUCUAUCAAAUCUGCAAGAUCACUGACAAAGAAAACUUGUGAAUAUGAAAUAAAGGCAUUCAAACAAGAGAAAAAAUGUAAUUAAUUUUGGAAUAACUUGCUUUUGAUCAAAGACAAAUGGAUAUUAAAUCUCUUUUUCUUGGUACGUGUUAGAACAGUAGUAUGUUAAGGGCAGGUGUUUCUUGAUGGUCAGGGAAAAGUCCUACCCUGUAGAAUGCUGAAAGAAAAAAAAUCCUCUAAUCUUUCGUUAAAACUCUCUGAUACUGACACAACUACGAAAGAGAACCUCUCAACAGGAUUUCAAGUGAAAAAUCAUAUUUGGAAAUUUAAAAAAAGUGUGCAUGUGGAUACAAAAAGGAAAAAAAAAAGACCUUCUGGGUUGUUUGUGAGUGUCAAAUGAUUUGAGUAAAUUUAUGAGGAAGUGAGUCAUCCCCUCAUCAGUCUGAUCAUAAAAUAAUUUGUAGAGAAGUAUGCGAGCUGUCGGAGGCUCCUUGGAAUCUGCUGGCAAUAUCUUAAGCACCAAAUCUAGCAUGCGAAUCUGGAAGAAAAAUAAAUUAGUUAAGAAGCAUGUUGCAAGGGCAUGAUUAAAAUACAGCUUUUGAGAUAUGGCAACUUAAAAUAUGUCCUUCUAAUGGGCCCCUAAAGUGCAAUUGGUCCCUUUAAAAACUAUGUACUUUUUUUCAUCAUUCGUUACACCAAUGUCCCUUGCAUGGAAAGUAACUUAAGCCACAGAGAAGUGUUCUUGGAAAGUAAUGAAAUAAUUACCAUAUUUUUCAUGAGAGAACCAGCUGCAGACAAAAACUUGUAGUCAUGUGUUUCCUUCAAGCUAUCAUAUGCAUAACGCUAUCAUAUGUAUAGCGUUUCCUGAUUGUCGUGUUUUGAAGAUCUAGGUGAUGCUUUUGUUAGAUUGUGAGUAUGAAGCAUGUUUGAGGAUUAGCUAUAAUAUUGGAUGAAUUAUUGUAUGGAAAAGUCUUGGUAUGGUGUUCGGAUAAAUCCUAUUUCUUGUAGGAUUAUAAGUGCUUUUAGUGUUCUUUUGGGAAAAGGAUUUGGAUUCUGCACUGAUUGAUCUUGUGCACUUAUUGUGUGAAAAGGUUUUGUUUUAGAGUUCCACUUUCAUUCUAAUAGGAGAAUGAGUUGGAUUAACGCUAUAUAUAACCUCAAUCACUGCUCUUGCAAAGAUUACGGCUCAUCUUGUACUGAAUACCUAUUAUUCAGAGAGCUCUCUAGUUUUGCUAAAGAGGAGAAGAUUGCUUGGUUGUGAAGUUGCUAUGGCUUCUUCGAGUUCAAGUUCUGUAGGUAUGUUCAGAGGCGGAGCCACAGUGGGGUCAAUGGGGUCGCACGACCCCUUGGAAGCCAUGGAAAUAACCUUAGAGGUCCCUUGGAGCUGCUGGUUCGACCCCUUGGAGCUGCUGGUGCGACCUCUUGGAGCUGCACACCACUUGUUCGACGGAAUGUUUGAAAGAAGAAAGAAGGCAGCCUUGUUGCAGGUUGAAGAAGAAGGAGCUUGGAGCUGCACACCACUUGUUCGACGAAAUGUUUGAAAGAAGAAAGAAGGCAGCCUUGCUGCAGGUUGAAGAAGAAGGAGCCCGCGCGGGCUUUUUUUUUUUUAAAACGAACCUGGGCAAAACGACGUCGUUUUGGCCCAGGGAAUUGUGAAAUUGUGAAUUCAUGCACCCUAAAUAAUUUUUUUUUUUGUUGGUGCACACAUUAUUCUUUUUUUUUUAAAUUCUUUUUGAGUAUUCUCCUUUUUUUUUCAUUUUAACACCAAUUAUUUUGUUAAAAAUUAUUAAAAAUAUUUAUUAUUGUUCCAUGCACAGAUUAAUCCGACACUGCAUCAAACGCCCGACUAAUUUAGUCAGUACUAUCCGACGACUAUUUAUCUUAUCCGACUGAAAUAGUCAGUACAGUCCGAAGUACCAAACGAGGCUAAAAAAAAAUUUCGCGCUACGCGCACUAUCCUUAUUGACCCCUCAAACAUUAUUUCCUGGAUCCGCCACUGGGUAUGUUUUCCACUGGUUUUAUAUUCGAGUUUAUAGUUUUGUCAUUCAGUUUGAUUGUUGGAGUAUUGGUGAUUUACUGACAGUGGCAUAUCAAUGAUCUGUGAUAUAGUUCUUACAGCUUUGUGUUAACACAAUUUUUUGUUUCAUUAACUUGGUUCAGGUCCGGGGUAAUGCGAAUGGGUUGAGAACUCUCCCACACAGUGCUGCCUUAACUACUGUAGAUUGGCACCCGACGUUACCCAUCUUCUUAACAGGAUCAGCUGAUAACUCUAUCCGAUUAACAUCUUUGUCAUAAACGUUUCUGACUCUAUCUCCAUGUUCUCAGUGUGCCUGACGUUGAAUGAAGUUCACUCAGUGUGUUUGAACUGGUUUCGUUCUGGCUUUCAUCCGAGCAAUGUGUCUUGUAUUCGUAUGCAGGUGUAAAUCACGGAACAGAUUUCAUAGAGCAUAGCAAUUCUUUGAUGCACUGAUCUUUUGCCUUUGGGGCUGGGAAAUACCCUGUUUUAUUCAACUUCAUAUGAUUCUUGUCGGAACUAUAUUACACACGGCUAGGGCGCAACUUGGAUAGGAGAAUAUCUGAUUUCGAUCCAGAACAUUCCAAAAUAUUUUGACCAAUUAGAAUCUGAAAUUCCGAAUCCAAAAAAUCCGAAAAAAAAUCAUAUAGGCAGAUCGGGUCCGACUGAAAAUCAGUCCACACAGCAUGACAGAGCAAUCUAUUAUACACAAGCAUCAUAGUUGAUGACAUUUUAUAUCACAUUGCAUCAGGAAAAGACAAAAAAAAAAACACACUUCUGAUAUUACAUUGAAUCUAAAAGAACGAAAGUUGAGCCACUCGAAAUUUAAGUUUUGGAAUACACUUUUGCCCCAACGAGAGUUAUGAUAUUACUCGUCAUCGACUUUUUUUUUUUCCUGAUGAUCCUUGUGGUUCCAUAUCUACAAAGUCAACAAAAAAUAUCUUAAAAUUAAAGGUAAACAAAUAAAAAGCUUAAAAAUAAUGUUUCGGCAGUCUUCUACCGAAAUAUCUCAUUUAACUUGGAAAAUACAAACUAAUUUAAAGGGUGGAGUUCGGAAGUAUAUAACGAAUUAGGAGAGUAGAGCUUUACCGUUUACCUUUGAAAUCUCCCCUGCAGCUUUGCCUUCACAGGCAACGUUCUUCACAUAAUCCGAGCUUUUAUAUCAUCAAUGAAUCGGAAAUAGGCGUAUCUCCAAGACGUCUUGAGGACUAAAGUACCACAAACACUCCAGAAUCCUAUGAUAAAUCCAAGCGCCAAGCUAACAUAAAAUCCCAAGCUUAUGAGACCAUCACUAUCUUGUUUGUUCUUGUCACUUCCACUGCCAUUAGGGACUGAAGGAUCUUCAGUUGUUACAUCUCUCGGGCAUUCUGGUGUGAGCGGUUGCCCGCAAAGUCCAAGAUUUCCCGUAAAUUGAGAAGCAUUAAAACUUUGAAGUUGAGUACUUAGCGGAAUUCUUCCUGAUAAGUUGUUGUAUGACAAGUCCAAGACACCAAGAAAAUGUAAGCUCGAAAAACUCGGAGGGAUGCUACCAGAUAUCUGGUUUCGGGACAAAUCAAGCGAUUCUAACAUCUCCAGCUGACCAAAGUUGUUAGGAAGCACCCCAGUAAAAUUGUUGCUUGACAGGUUCAGAGAAAUCAACCUCAACAAGCUUGUUACACUUUCUGGAAUAUCUCCACUCAAGUUGUUGCUCGAAAUGUCAAUGCUUCUCAAAAGCUUAAGAUUUUCGCCAAACUCAAUCAAUAUUCCUUUCCAAACCAGUUGCACAAACCCAACUUCAGAGUUGUCCUUCACCUCGGGGGACAUCGAAGAAUAGGCUGUUAUGUUAGGGAGGCAAUGGGGCAAGGCUCCGGAUAGAUUGUUCUUGGAGAAGUCCAAAACAUGAAGCGCAGGAAGACUGCAUAGACUUAAAGGUAUGCUUCCAUAAAACUCAUUCGACUUUAAGCGAAGAACCAGCAACUUUGUUAGGCUCGGGCCUAUCCAUGUCGGUAUCUUUCCAGAUAGCUUAUUGGCACCGAGGUCAACAACUCUUAAUUCUGUACAGUUCUCCAAAGAAGGCAAUUCUCCGGAAAGUUUGUUAUCCUGUAAGCGUAACAAUACAACAUAUUUUAAGUAGCCUAAUGAGCUUGGAAUUUUCCCGGACAGAUUGUUCUUAGCCAUGUUCAAGAAGAACAAACGUCGAAACUGCAUCCAACAACUAGGAAGUUCGCCGGAUAACUGAUUGUCGGAAAGGUCUAGAUCAUACAAGUCUGGAGCUUCUGUUUCACAAAAGUAAGAUAAGGGUCCUGAAAACAUGUUUUGGGAGAGACGCAGGAUGGUUACACUUGAUGGAAAUGGCGGAAGUGGGCCGUCCAAGAGAUUAGAUGACAAGUCAAAAUAACGGAAGGUGCAGUUUUUUGUUGACAGAUUUGGCAACUUUCCAGGGAUUUGGUUCAUUGAUAGGUUUAACUCGAGGAAGCUGGAAGACAGAUCCCAAAACUUAUCAGGUAUAGAAUCCGAAAUCUCAGCAUCAGCCAUGUAAAGUGAAGUAAGUUUUUUCUGAGUUUGAAUCCAUUUCGGAAAAGCAGGGCCAACCUUGCAAGAGGACAAUCCUAGAAUUUUGAUUUGGAAAGGCGGAUUCCAAUCCGAGCUAAAGUUAAAAGACAAAGGAUUAUGAGAAAAAUCCAAAGAGUUUAAACGGGAGAGAUUGGAAAAGUGCACUUCAGUUAUGACACCAUUUAAAGAAUUCCAAGAAAGAUCUAAAUCUUCGAGGCUGGAAAGUUGGCCGAUACUCUCAGGAAGAGAUCCGCUGAGUUGAUUUUGGGAGAUAUAUAACUGCCUUAACAACGAAAGACCUGUAAAAUCAGGCAGUGAUCCGGUGAACUGGUUUUGAACUAGGCUCAAGGAUCUUAGCUGGGAGAGUGGCUGAAAACUUUUUGGAAGAGAUCCCCUUACGUUGGUGCCAUCAAUGUACAACUCUUUCAAGGAUGAAAAUCUUGUAAGGUUGUCAGGAUAUGAACCCGAAAACGGGUUCCCACUUAAAGACAAGGACUCGAGGGUGUCUUGAGCACAAGACAAGUUUUCGACAGAGUCUUCAAGUCUGUCGGAAAGUGUACUUCCCUCUAAAUUCAAGAACUCUAAGCUGCAAAGGUUUCGAAAGGAUUUUGGUAUCCCACCUUCAAGUUUGUUAUAUGAGAGAUCAAGAGAGACGAGAGAAACCAUAUUUGCGAAAACAUCUGGGAAGGGACCUGGAAUAUGAUCACCAACUAAACCAAUGUGAACAAGGUUGGUGCUGACAUUGGCCAUCCAAUAAAAUAUCGAAAGAUCAAGAAUAUUAUAUGAGAGUUCAAGGACUUCAAGAGAGUUUGAAGAAUUGACAAAAGAAAACGAACUCAGUUCGACAUUGGGAAGAUUACACCAAGAUAACUGAAGCUCAACAAGUGAAGGGAGUUUGCUUAUAGAUUCUGGCCAAUUUACAACCUUGGAAAAAUUAAGACGCGACAUAUUCAAGUACCUCAAGGAAGAAAGAUGAGAUAACCACUCAAGAUUUUCAAAUGUGACAUGGUUCCGUGCAAGAUCAAGAGUAUACAAACUAGAGAGAUUUCCAAGUUGGGGAGGAAUUGGUCCGCUAAGAUUAGCACCUGCUAGUUUGAGUUGUUCCAAUCGACUCAAGGAACCGAUGAACUUGGGAAUUUGUCCUUGGAAAUGAUUGAAACUGAGGUCCAAGUAAGUUAGAUAUGGCAACUCAAGUAGAGAAGGAGCAAUCACACCACUUAGAGGAGUUUUAACACCAUAUAUAUCAAAAGAACUGUGAUAGAGAUCUAGGGUGACGACAUGACCUGUUUCGUUAUUGCAAGCGAUUCCUCUCCACUCGCAACAAUCUUUGCCGGUUUCCCAAGAGGCAAGAACGUUGGACUGGUCGAUGAGGCCCUGUUUGAACUGAAGCAGAGCGGUUUUUUCUGCUUGUAAGCACCUGAUGUUGGAACUGAUUCCAGCACCCAGACAGCAUUUGGCAGAUGUAAGAGCGAACAAGACAGAAUAUAUGAUUGUGAGCAACAUGGUACGUGAAAUGGUGAAUGGAAUUGUAUGUGGAUUUGGGAGCGAAAAGCAAGAGAUGUUGCUUUAUAGAUCGAUCCUUCGUUGUCGUUCUGUGGACGUUGAGAAAAACAAAUCAAAGAGGAGGAAAAGUGGUAGAGAAAAGGAGGGAAAGAGGUAAAGAAAGAGAAAUGGGGAUGAGGAUCCCCCUCCGGAUCCUAGUAUACCAUCCGUUCAUGGAAAAUCAUGCAGCUAGAAAUCAUUAGAUAUUGUUCGUGUUUAAUUUUAAAUAAAUAAUUUUAAAUAAUUUAUGACCGCACGAUAUACGAAAAAAUCCUUCACGUCCGAGAAAAUGAUGGAAAAUGGUAGAGAAAAAUUGGAAAAGGAGAUUGGAAUAAAAAAGUACGGUGGUGGGGGCAUGGACUGGAGAAAGACUUCAUACGUGAAGGAAGGGAAAGCAAGAAGAAAGAAUGGUGGUGGAGCAUGGAUUGGAGAAAGACUUAAUACGUGAAGGAAGGGAAAGGAAGAAGAAAAUAUGGCUACUCCGAGGACAUAGGCAAAUUUGACUGAACCUCGUAAAUAUUGUAUCCUAUUUACAUUUUCUUACCGUUGAUUAUAUUUCGUGUAGCCUGCGCAAAAUCUAUUCCAAUACAGACCAUUAGAAUAAGAUGAACUAGAGAAUUACAUGAAAUUGCACUUGGAAUAUUAAGCGACUUGGAACUAGUAAAGAUCGUACCCAGUGCACAAGGCUCCCGCUUUAAGCAGGGUCUGAGAGAGGUGAAUAUCGGGUAGCCUUACCCCCAUUUAUGAAGAGGCUGCUCCCAAGUCUUGAACCCGAGACCUACCGCUCAUGGGCGAAGGUACUUGCCAUCCGGAAAUCGAUAGUCGGGGGCAUUUGUGGGACCACCAUUUGUAGAAUGAUGCCCCACGCGGCCUCUAAGGUCCAACCGUCCGGAGGUGACCUUCCCUGCCCACAGGAGUCCCUUACACAAUGUACACACACAGAUCACUAAUCCAAAUUCUACUGCAUGUUUAAGAAAAAGGAUGAUUUCACCACUUCGGUACUCAGCACCAAGGAACCUGAUCAUGCUACAACGGAUAAUGGUAUAACAAUUCCAGCAGAGUCAGAAACCACACCGUCCUUCGAAACUCCAGCACGGUGAAACCUGAUCGUGCUACAAUCUCAGUCAUCAUCUUCAUCAUCAAGUACCAUCCUUGACCUCCUUCUGCUUACACCACUCACUGGCAAUGUACCUACUUCAUCCUCCGAAUCUGCCAGAUCAGUGUCCAUUUCCUGAUGUAGCAAAUCCUCCAAAGUUUUCACAGGUCCAACAUCUAAUGGAUUACCACUGCUGGUGCCUGUGACUUCAGCUUGUUCUGUGCCAUUCAGACUAGCACGUUUCGCAGCAGCACCUUCGUCAACUUCAUUUUCCAAAACAGUGCCGCUUUCUGUUCCCUGAAUCGAGAUGGCUUCGGAGUUUUGAUCUAUGGACUUGGAAAGGGAUCGCCUAGUUUUCCUAUAUCCAAAAGAACAAUUUUUUUAUUAGAAAAAUGGCUACCUUACAUACACAAUCAGAAUCCAACGACUAUAGUUAUUCGAAUUCUUCUUUUUUCGUUUUUUUCUCAGGGGGAGGUUUGAGGAUGGAGAGAGGGAAGAGAUUUACUUAAGAACAGAGCUUAGGAUUUCAUCAUCACAAUCAUCUUCCAACGCUUCUCGUCCAAUAGUCUGUUCUAGCAACUCGUCGCUAUUAUCCUUCUUGCCCCUAGAAGUUCAAACAAAAAGUUGUCAGACAUAGGUAUUUACACAUCUAUGUAUGCAUGCGAGUGUAAAGAUGGAACCAAAUACACAUUCCUACAAGUUAAUUCGGAAUAUGGAAACCGAACUGAAUAAUGAAUUUAAUAACCUUAUAUUGUAAGGUUUACGUAAAGAUAUUGGAGUCUGACAUAUGCAGUAAAAACGCCAAAACAGUGAAAACUAAGAUGGACAUACUAAUCAUUGACAUUUACCUUUUCAUUAAUGAAAAUAGUGUUUCAUCAUCAGAGUCGUGCAUUUUGUUUGCAUUAGAGUCACUAUGAUCCUCAUCCUUCAGCAUGCCACCUGAAGGCCUCUUCUUCCGAGGAAUAUGCAAACCAAGCUGCUUAAGCUUACGAGAAACUUGAGGAGCUGUGAAUUUCCCAUCUCCAUCCAUCGCAUUUGCAAUCAUAUGGCUGCAUUUCUUAUGGUCUUUAAAUCUGGGAAGAUCGAAGAAAGCAAAUUUUUCUUUAAAACAAUAUAAUAGUAAACUUCCAUUAUCUACUUUUCUUUGGUAAUCCUCCAGCAUUUAUCAAGUGAGAAGAUGUCAAAUCUCAUAUUUCCACCAAGCCACCAAGUAAUACUCACUGCUCGUAUAAAGCUCUGAUAUUAGCUUCCUGAUCUUCACUGAGGGCACGGACCCUUUUUCUUGCUCGCCUAUAAAAAUAUCAAGGUCAAAUUAAUUAACAGCUGAGCAGUGAAGCAACACAAACAAAACCAGCAUGCAUUACGAUUUGCCAUGAAAUGAAUGGCUAAUUGACAAAACACUCACAAAGGCUGGCUUUUUGAUUCAGAAUGAGUUUUAACUGCUUCCUCUACUCUUCCAUCUCCAUCAAUUUGACUAGGCCCAGUGGAAACAGAUUCCUGAGCUUUCCGAAUUCUUUUCCUUCGUGCAACUUUCAGCCCUAGCUGUUUAAGCUUGUUAGAAAUUUGAGCUGAUGAAACUUUACCAUCACGAUCAAGAGCUUCCGCAAUAAGAUGACUACAAUUCUGGUCAUCCUUGAAUCUAGAUUGGCCAUAUUUGUUAGGAAAGAUUUCAGUAAAGCUGGAUGAAAAAAGUAGGUUACACUGCUAAAACAAUAUUGGCACAACUCAAAUUAUGAACACACAUCAUGGCCAAUGCUUUUUAUAUUAUUAUGUUUCGGCUGAUAUCAGGUGUACUAUGCCGGGUUAAAGGCUCAAGAAAGAAGAAAGAUCUUAGAUCAAGGAACCAUACUUCUCAUACAGAUCCUUAAUUUUCAUCUCCAGUUCAGCUCCAAUAACAAGUCGCUUGUUUUUUCUAGAAACCCUCUCAGUUUCAUUCUCUAUGGACUUUCCCUCACUGCAACAGUCGAAUGCAUCAAGGUCUCAUUAAGAUGACAAUUUAUAAAAAAAUAUUAAUCAUCAAGUUGUAAGUAUAAAGGACGUACUUGUCAUAAUUAGCUUGCCCAUCAGUCUCAUUAUCUGAAAUAUAUGCAGUACCUCCCUCCGCUUUGCCAGAAUUUUCUCCAUCACUGUAAGAAAAAAGAAGGCAUAUUCGUUAGCUCCUCUUGCAGUAUCUCAUCCAUUCAGAAAAUUUCGUACUUUUUUUUGUCCCUUUGGUAGACUUGUUUCGCAAAAUUUAUUCAUAUAUCACAAUUUCCCGCUUAAUAGAGGCAUCAGAAACAUGUCUUACUUCUCAUAUCCAAGGUCAUGAGAUAGCACGACAUCAGCUUCAUCUUCACCAAGUGCAUCUGCUAUGCUUCUACUUGUCCAUCCUUUGUCCAGUGAUGGACCAAUUUCAUCGUCCCCUAAACUGUUUGCCCAGUUUCUAGUUUCUUUCUUCAAAUGGCCAAGCUCUUGCAAUAAAUACUCAGCAUUAAUGUAAUGGCAUUCUUUGCGAGUUUUCCAGAAGAGAACUUCCACAAAAAGUAGGGGUUGAUUUUUCAUUUUUUUAAGCAUUUUUCUGACCAAACUUUUCAAAAAAUCGACAAUAUUUUCAUACGCCUUGCAUGGACAUGACUUCUGCUCAGCUAGAAUGUCAUAGAAUGUAGUGAGGAGUGACAACUGCAAAAGUUUUUCCAUGAAAACUUUAGAUGAGAAAUGAACUUGAAAUGGCUGCUUAAAAUUAUAUAAAGUUGAUACGUAAAGUUUCACCUGAUACAACAUCGGAGAGAGCCCCAGGUCAUCACUUAUCCUUCGCAGCAUGCUGACUAUGUAGUGAUUGGUACUGGUCGAGUUACCCUUAUAAAACUUAAGCAACCAACACAACUUCUGGAUGAUGCUGUGGCUUGCAAAAGCAGAAAUCAAAGUUGACACCUUAAAAUCAACUUCAUCAGUUGCAGCUACCUGCUCAUCAGCAGAAGAAUCGCCUGUGCUAUAACCAAGAUCACCUUUGGCAUAGUCAGAAUCUCUGCGAUCGAUCUGUGCCAGACUGUCUUCAAUUUUUUCUGUCUCCAACAAAGAUAUUUUGCAUUCAUCAGGCUGAUCAGGGAUAAUGGUGUCUUCUUUCCCAUUGGAAAUUGUGUUUAGGCUUCUGUUCUCCGUCACACUGACUUCUGUUGAUUGCUCUUCAUUGGAGAUGCCAAUCUCUUUUUGAAUGGUACCAUGCUCUUCUAAGAGUUUAUUUUCUGUUUCCUUCUCAAUAGGUGUUUUCUUCUUCCUCACUUUCCUAGAUUUUUUAGAAACCUUAAUCAUAAAAGGAAAUUGGUUUUAGUAGUGAAUUUUUUUUUUCCAAAUGGUUUUAGCAGAGAGACAAUAAUAUUUUCCCCCUUUCCCCCAUCCAAAAUUAUGAAUGCUACAUACCCUCAAAGUUCCGCCUGCUUGAAGGUUUUCCAUGAGCCGUAAAACUUUAUAAACCAUCUCUAUCAAAUCUGCAAGAUCACUGACAAAGAAAACUUGUGAAUAUGAAAUAAAGGCCCUCAAACAAGAGAAAAAAAAUGUAAUUAAUUUUGGAAUAACUUGCUUUUGAUCAAAGACAAAUGGAUAUUAAAUCUCUUUUUCCUGGUACGUGUUUGAACAGUAGUAGGUUAAAGGCAGGUGUUUCUUGAUGGUCAGGGAAAAGUCCUACCCUGUAGAAUGCUGAAUCAUCUCCCUUUCUUAAAGAUUGCAUAUCUAAAAUUGGAUGCCCAACAACAAAGAAAAAAAUCCUCUAAUCUUUCGUUAAAACUCUCUGAUACUGACACAACUACUAAAGAGAACCUCUCAACAGGAUUUCAAGUGAAAAAUCAUAUUUGGAAAUUUAAAAAAAGUGUGCAUGUGGAUACAAAAAGGAAAAAAAAGACCUUCUGGGUUGUUUGUGAGUGUCAAAUGAUUUGAGUAAAUUUAUGAGGAAGUGCGUCAUCCCCUCAUCAGUCUGAUCAUAAAAUAAUUUGUAGAGAAGUAUGCGAGCUGUUUGAGGCUCCUUGGAAUCUGCUGGCAAUAACUUAAGCACCAAAUCCAGCAUGCAAAUCUGGAAGAAAAAUAAAUUAGUUAAGAAGCAUGUUGCAAGGGCAUAAUUAAAAUACAGUUCUUAUCCCAACUUCACAUAUCAAUAACUUGCAUAGAGCUUUUGAGAUAUGGCAACUUAAAAAUAUGUCCUUCUAAUGGGCCACUAAAGUGCAAUUGGUCCCUUUAAAAACUAUGUAUUUUUUUUCCAUCAUUCGUUACACCAAUGACCCUUGCAUGGAAAGUAACUUAGGCCACAGAGAAGUGUUAUUGGAAAGUAAUGAAAUAAUUACCAUAUUUUUCAUAAGAGAACCAGCUGCAGACAAAAACUUGUAGUCAUGUGUUUCCUUCAAGCUAUCAUAUGCAUAACGCCACUUUGAAAUGACUAGUUGAAACAUAGAUUCGUUCACUGAUGCUGCAAUGGGUCCGCAAACAUCACCUUUGAAGAAUGUGCUAUCAGCAUCUUUAUCAGUGGGAGCUUCAGUUGGAUCUGCUUCUGUGCCCAUGCUAGGCUGGUAAAUCAUAGAAGAUCCAGGUAAAACAAUUAAAAUUCUCCAACAAGAAAUGUGACUUGAGUUAUGUGGUGAAAUGACCCAAAAUGACAACCACUGUGCAUAAUGGACUCAUUAUAUCAGAAGUACAAUCUAAACCCUUUAGAAUGGAUAAUGGAGAAAGACCCAGUUGCAUUGAUUAAAUUGCAGGUUGGGAUAGAUUGAGAUGAGAAAUAUUGGUCCUUCUCCGUGCAAAAAGGUUAGUUUCUAAAUUCUGAAAAAUGAGUCCUGUUUGCAGAAAGGUUUCAUUUUGCAAAAAGUAAUUACCAUGUCCAUUUAGGAAACAACUAAACAUGGUUAUCCAACAUAGCCUGUCUCACCUUAGAAAUUGAAGACUUGUGAUACUGGAAAGAAAUAGCAAACUGAGCAACUUGAAAGAAGACAACAACAUCACUCUUCUGAAUUGAGGGGUGUUCCUUUUCAAUAUUCUCACGAAUUGACUGCAUCAGAACUGAUAGACACGGACUACUUUGUAAUUGUGCAAUAAGACCAUAAUGGAACAUCAAGAAAAAAAAGUGAACUAACAUAAAAGAGGAACGAAAAAAUGACAUACCAUUGUAACCCCCUGAUAAAAACUGGUUUACAAAAUCAUGGAGCAAUUCUAAAAUUUUAUCCUUUGUUGAAGGCAAUGUCCCAUGAUCCCAAGCAAUUUUUUUUACUGGACCCCGGGGAUUAUGUGGUUUAAGCAUGGUUUUACAAGAGGUAGAAGUAGGCCUUCCCUUCAAAACUGCCACAGAACCAUCCUGCCGAGGAAAGCCCAUUAUCAUUAGAGAAGAACUUAUAAAAAGUUAAAAACCUCACUUGCAUGAGGCCAUAGUGAAACUCCCUACCAUGGUGAGCUGGGUAAAUGUUCCACUAAAUUGUGAAUGGCGACUCAUGUUACGUAGUCUAGAAAGUCUUUUUUUCUCUUCUUCUUCUUCCUCCAUUAUGGACUUGAGACUAUUUAAGGAACCAGCGGUGUUUCCAUCCACCUAAAAAAUACAAGUAAUCAAAUAGACUAUAAGAAAACGGCUAUCAACCACUGCAUCAGUAAUGUAAGUAGUAAGAUUAAAUCAUUGAGCAAAUAAUUCAAAGCUCAUAAGUUCAGAAUAUAAAGCAACAAAAGGAAAGAAAUUUCAUUGGCUAAAACUUGUACUUUUUGUGGCUCUAUCUAUGUCUCAUAUUAAAGCUUCUUGUCAAGGUUUUCAUUUAAUUUCUCCCAUUGUCUUAUUUAAAAUGCUCGCUAGCUCUGAACAAACGUCAUUUUCCUUACAAAGAAUUCAGAAAGAGAUGAAGAGAAACCAACCUUAAGACCUUUUGAAUAUGCGUUUGCGAUCAACUCUGGUUCUUGACCCAUGAAUAUGUAAUGGAAAAUUUCCAAUAAAAGCAAGUUAUCGUGACAGAGGUAGCUACGGGAAUCACCAAUAUGCUGGGUUAUGACUAAAACUAUGUCCAUCACGUUCUCAUGAAACAAAAGUUCUAGAAAUCUAUCUCUGAGUGAUACAAAUUGACUGGCCAUUCCUCCAGCCUUCUGCUGCUGUGAAAUUUCUUGAACAGCUAAGAUGUUUCGGAAUAAAGUAAGUACCAACUGCACCAAUUUCCAGUCAUCCUCCGUGAAUGCAUCACUGUCAAAAAGCGAUGAAGAAUAUGUAAUUUUCAAGCAACCAAUGAUGCAGAAGAUGAAGCAUAUGUAAUCUUCUCUCACCGUUCCAAAUUUUCCAGUGGGCUUUCCAGAAGCGAUACUAUAACUGCAACAGUAUCACUAGAUGUAAUCGAAGACUUCAACUUCCACAGAAACUCUAUCUGCUGCAAAACAUCAUUCGACGAAGGCUCAACUGGCAUAGUUAGGAACACCAGAACCUUCACUGCAAAUUCAAAAAAAUAAUUAAAGUCAUCCCUUUGGAAUACGCUUUCAUAAACAUGUAAUGAAGAGAGAAAAACGAUUUUACCUGCAUUCAAAACCAAGUUGGUAUCAGCUUGGCAGUGUUCAAUGAUAGGUACCAAAUGCUGAUCUACAAUAUUCCAUUUACAGACUUGCUUAAAAACAUCCCGAUUCUGCGGGUCAUCACGCCUCAAAAACCUUAGCAAAUCUUUCAGAUUAUCUGUCAAUAACAAAGAAAAACAAAUUUCAUAUCUGCCACCUGACUGGAAAAAAUAACAUUCCCAAUCGACAUCGUUUUCAUCUAAUCAAUCGAGACCAUACGAUUCCUCGUGCAUUCAAGCCAAAUCCAAAUAAUUAAGAAGAAAAAAUACCCAUUGAACGUUUGGAAUUAACAAAGAAAAUUUUCGAAUUUAAAAAAUUAAACGGAAGAAAAAUGAUGCAAUUUAGCCCGGUGGAAUUUUACCUUCAAAAUUAACCCAUUUCCAACCAUCAACAGUAAGUGAAAUAAAUAAUUCCCCCCAAAUCUGCCCUAGUUUCGCAAUCUACUCCAACCAAAAUUGCUACAAAGUCAAUUUAACUAGGAAAUUUUGCAAUCCAAACUAAAAUUAUCUUCCAUUUCCGGCAUUUUCUCGGCAUCCAAACGGAGAUUUCUCGAAGACAUAGAUGACGUACCUAAGCAGUACUUGCCCUUCGAGUAGCCGAUCCGGUUGCCAUUGUCAUCUUCUUCUGCAAUCCCCAGAUCGCAGCAUAUUACCGAUAAGCCUUCCAAGUCCAUCUUCCGUGAAACGGUGCCGUUUUCAAACGAGGGUUCGAGAGUUUGGGACUUCUGGAGGAGAUGAGGAGUGGAGGAAUUUGGCGCGAGAGCAAUCAGAUCUCCGAGAAAGGGUUUAUUUUGAGGGUUUUGGUGGCGCCAAUUUCAACGUGAUUUUCCCGCGCUCCUCAGGCGUGGCCAAGGUUUUUAUUAGCUGAUGUGGCCAUUUAGGUGUACAGGUGUCAGCUGAUGUGGCAAUCGUUUAUAGGUUGGAAUCGUAUGUAGGUGAGGAGAGAGCAUCCUCGCCGGAUCCUCCAAUCAUAUCCGUUCAUUGUACAUCUUGCGAUCAGUUUUUAUCAGGUACCGUUUAUAUUCAAUUUUAAAUAAUAAAAAAUUACAAUGAUUUUUGACUCCACGAUGAACGGAUGUAAUUGGAGAAUCCUAAUUAUCCUCAUAAAGAGGAUCUGGAGAGGAUCCGGAGAGGAUCCCCAUGGAUAGGUGAAAACCUUUGAUUUUUAAAAAUUAUUUUUCUAAUAAUGAUGAGUAGCACAAUUACCUAUAAGCAUAUGUAAAGUAUCUUUUUUCUUCGAUGUGUGAUUCAAACUGUCAAUACUCUCCCUCACGUGUGGCCGUUGGGUGACGUGGAGCACGUGUAGUCAUUGGACUUCACGUGUAAGACAACUUGCUCUGAUACCAUGAAGAAAGUUAAAAUUUCAUCAUAAAAUCAAUUGGUAAUAUAAGAAGCAACCAAAUUAUUUAUAAGCACAUAUAAAAUCUCUCAUUUUCUCAAUAUGAGAUUCAAACUCUCAUUAGUCAUGUUGAAAAUUACAUAGACCGAUAAAUAAUUGUGCGUGGAUUUAAAUUUGUCACGUAGUGCUAUUAAUUUAGGAAAAGUCAUACAAAAUAAUUUCUCAAAAUAAGAACUUAUAGAUAACAAAUUCACCACAUAUGGCAUUCAUGUCCAUUAGUGUUAAGUCAUGUGAAGAAAAAAAUAUAUUACUACAUUAGAACGCCAAUGUAACAGUGAAUCGAAAUAUCACAAUAACGGUAAAUUCAGUUAUGCGAGUUGCUCAACUGGCAAAUCAGCCCAGCAGCCCGCAUAUGUGGAAGCAGCACUGUUUGUCCGGAACAGGCCCAAAAUAAUCUCGUGACCCGCCCGUUCCCCUUUCGAGACAAACUCCACUUGGAACGAAGGAAGUUGAGCAACUUCUACUUCGCCGCUACUUCCUUCGUUACAACCAAAGCCCUGCCAAACUCUGUCUCUCUGUCUCUUUCUCUCUCUCUCUCUCUGGCGCCUCAAAACCUCCGCCAAAAGUAGCGGCGACUUCCACAACCUCCCCCACGUCCUUUUAAAUCCAUCGGCCAGUCACUUCACCUCACCAUUGUCCUCUCAGAACCUCGGCCAAAAACCCGAAUCUCUCCCUCUCUAUCUUCUCUCUCUCUCCUCUCUCUCCUAAAUGGUGCAGGUGGUGGCUAUGCGGGCGAUUCAGAGCUCGAUCCUCUCUCCCACCUCUGAAUCCGCAUACCGCCGCCCCGCCUUCAAGCUGAAGCCGCCAACGAGCUUUGCGUACAAAGUUAUGGCCUUUGAGGAGAAGCAGAGGGGAUGGAGCUGGAGACUGUUUGGGAACAGGAGGUCUGAGAUCACUGCGAAGCGUCCCCUUCAGACGGAGGUCGCUCCCGUCUCACCCGAAGACUCACCCAAGGUUCGUGCCACUGCUCAAAUCUUCCUUGUUCUUUGUUUGGACCUUGAUGCGUUUAGCAAUGCGGUCUAGUGGUAUUCCUCCUUAGAGUAAUUCCGAGGUCUCAGGUUCGAUUCGCUUGGAUGGAAAGUUGGAUACUUUAUUACGGGCUUAGCUGAAAUCCCCUACCUUUGCGUAAAAAAAAUAUAAUCUGUUUGAUUGCCGAGAAAUUGUAGAAAAUCAUGAGAAAAAAGGAAACUUUUUGUUUUUGGAUGUUGAAUUGAUAAUACAUAGGCUGAUUGAUAAUGUUUAGGGCUGUUUGGAAAUGCUUUUAUAGAAAGCACUUAUGCUUAUAAUCGCUUUUAUUACAAUCACUUUGAAAUUUUCAUUUAAAGUUCCGAGUGCUUUUAGAAUGUAUGUUUAGAUUUGUUUAGUUUGUGUUGCUAAUCAGAUAGAGGAGCAGUGGAAGGCAAUUCAGCAACUUGAUGACCCAGCAGUGGGUAUGUGGUCCAAGCCUGUUGUAAAACGUAAGACAAAGAUUGUUUGCACAAUUGGUCCUUCCACCAACACACGCGAAAUGAUCUGGAAGUUGGCCGAGGCUGGAAUGAAUGUUGCUCGUAUGAAUAUGUCUCAUGGAGACCACGCGUCUCAUCAGAAAGUUAUAGACUUGGUUAAAGAAUAUAAUGAGCAACAUAAGGACAAUGUCAUCGCAAUCAUGCUUGAUACCAAGGCAAGGCUCCCCUUAUUGUUUGUUGUUAUUCCUUCGAUAUCAAGUCAUUACGUUAAAUUGCUUAUUUUUUACUAUUCGGAUUAUAUCUAGGUCGUUCCAUUGAUGAAAGGUUGUUCUGUAUCAGGGUCCUGAGGUUAGGAGCGGUGACUUGCCGCAGCCAAUCAAUUUGGAAAGCGGGCAGGAAUUUACCUUUACAAUCAAAAGAGGGGUUGGCACAUCAGAUUGUGUUAGCGUGAACUAUGAUGAUUUUGUUAACGAUGUAGCACCGGGAGACAUGCUUCUGGUUGAUGGUAUGUUGAAUUUUACUUUUCUUUUGGUUAAAAAUUGAAAUUAUGUUUAUAUGCACUCUGAAUCUUGAUUUGCGCUGUAGGUGGUAUGAUGUCAUUCCUGGUGAAGUCCAAGACAGAAGAAUCAGUGAAUUGUGAAGUUGUUGAUGGAGGAGAGCUUAAGUCUAGGCGACAUUUGAAUGUGCGAGGGAAAAGUGCAACAUUGCCUUCUAUCACUGGUUGGACUCCUAAAUUGUCGAUUACAUCCUUUACAUUCUAUUAAAGAUGUUUUUCCUUUAUUUCUUUAUGAUCGGUUUUCCUAAUCAAUAUAGUUUUCUGAACUUAUUUAUUGCAGAGAAAGAUUGGGAAGAUAUUAAAUUUGGAGUGGACAAUAAAGUUGACUUUUACGCUGUUUCAUUUGUCAAAGAUGCGCAAGUUGUUCAUGAAUUGAAGAAUUAUCUGCAAAGUAACUGUCCAAAUACUUUUAUCAUAUAUACAGAAAAUACAUCCGAAUUCCACACUUUUGUUUAAUGCUUUUAAAGAAUUGUAUCUAAUAUAUUUGAUGUUGCAGGUAACAAUGCAGAUAUACAUGUUAUCGUAAAAAUAGAAAGUGCAGACUCUAUCCCGAAUUUGCAUUCCAUUAUCACAGCAUCCGAUGGGGUAAUUUCUUGAAUCAAUGAAUGGAAACUUGAUACUCAAUAAAUCUUUCUCCUGGUUAUUUGCAUCUUAAAAACACAUUUGAAAUUUAUCAAUAAGUUUCAGCAAUCUCUUCUUUUAAAUUUUUAAUAUACGAUAAUUUAGGAAAUGAUAUGUUGAACUUUUUUUAGCACGGUUUAAUAUAUUAGUCUUAAUAAAGGUCGUACCCAGUGCACAAGGCUCCCGCUUUACGCAGGGUCUGGGAGAGGUGAAUGUCGGCUAGCCUUACCCCCAUUUAUGGAGAGGCUGCUCCCAAGUCUCGAACCCGAGACCUACCGCUCAUGGGCGAAGGCACUUGCCAUCGCACCAAGUGCGACCUCUAAUAUAUUAGUCUUAAUGUUUAAUAUAAAAAUAACUCAAACGUCCAACGCCAAUCUCUUCUUUUAAUAUGUAAAUAAUACAUUUUGAACUUACCUGAUAGUACUGACACACAAUUAUCUGAUUUUAGGCAAUGGUUGCAGAGGAGAUCUUGGUGCGGAGCUCCCUGUUGAAGAAGUUCCGCUUUUGCAGGUACUUAACAACAAACACAUUGCAAUUGAAUCCACUUAACAAGAUUGAUACAUUAAGUUGAGUUCAUUGAGUACGUUCUGAACUCUCUUUUAUUUCAAAAUGUAGGAAGAGAUUAUCAGGAUAUGCCGUAGCAUGGGAAAGGCUGUUAUUGUGGCAACAAAUAUGCUGGAAAGCAUGAUUGUUCACCCAACACCAACCAGAGCUGAGGUAUCCGACAUUGCCAUUGCUGUUAGAGAGGGUUCUGAUGGAAUUAUGCUUUCUGGAGAAACUGCUCAUGGAAAGUAAGUUGUUGUGGCUAUCGGAAUUAUACGGUUGGAACCAGUUUUGGACUAUACUAACAUUUAGACCGUAGCAUAAUGUGAUAAAGAGAUUUCAUAUCCAUGUAGGUUUCCUUUGAAGGCAGUGAAAGUUAUGCACACUGUCGCACUUCGGACUGAGGCGACCAUCUUGGGUAGCGCAGUGCCAGCCAAUCUUGGUAAAGCUUUCAAGGUUAGGGACAUAUACUUAUUCAUUCAGUUUCAGUAGCCAGCGUCUAGCAUCUUAUUCAUUCAGGUUCAACUGACUCUGAAGUCUUUAUUCCUGCAGAACCACAUGAGUGAGAUGUUUGCUUACCAUGCAACCAUGAUGUCCAAUACUCUUGGUACCUCAAUCGUUGUCUUUACCAGAACUGGUUUCAUGGCUAUUCUAUUGAGCCAUUACCGACCUACCGGCACCAUAUUUGCCUUCACGAAUGAGUGAGUUUUCAUGUUACCUUCCACAAAGGCAUUAGUUAAAAUUUGUAUCUGUAUCAGAUAAAAUAUGCUCUGCAAGUUCCACUCAUUAGCAAGUACUCUGAUUGUCAUGCAGUAAGAGCAUACAACGGAGAUUGGCUUUGUAUCAAGGCGUAUGUCCCAUAUACAUGGAGUUCACAGAAGAUUCUGAAACAAGCUUUAGCAAUGCCUUGACUGUGCUGAAGGUGAUUUUCUGCUGCAUAUUUCAUAAAUUCAUGGCGACGUAGAGUAAUUUAAAUUAAAGGGUCAUCCUUGAAUCAAUCUUGGCAGGAUCAAUAUUUUCGUUUCUUUUAACUUUUUCAUAGGAUAUUAUUGGUUCUGAUUUGGACUAACGUAGCCACCUAUUCAACCAUGCCAGCACUGAUGAUGCAUUUUCCGGUGUUUUGUUUACAGGAGCAAGGACUGGUAAAGGCAGGAGAGAGGUCGCACUCGUUCAAAGUGGCAGGCAACCCAUUUGGCGGCUUCAGUCCACUCACAACAUUCAAGUGCGCAAAGUUUAGGUGCAACGGAGAUGGAAAGGCCGCCCUCGUAACAUAGAUUUCUUCGUCUACACUACCAUAGUUUCAAAUGAUAGCUUUUGUGUUGUACUUCCAGCAGAAUUGUCGUGAUAGUUUCUUGCAUUGGUUGAUUUUUCUUCUAUUGCAUACUUUUGUGAUCCUAUACGCUUCUUUUUUGUAUUCCGAUUUUCCCCCUUUUAAUUAAUUGUGGUGUAUGUUUUAGAACAGUAAGUUGUUAAAGCAUAAAUUUGGCAGUUGGAAUGAAACGUCUAACUUUUUACUCAAACUGUCUAAAUUUUUUUAAUAGUUUGAUUGGGGAAACAGGACGACCUUCUAAUAUCCGCCGUUACCGUUUGUCGCAUAGCCGUUGAACGCUGGCCACGGUGUAUCACAUCGGCGGGACCGGUGUGGGAGUAUGGUGGAAAUUCCGUUUUCCUUACGAUUAGUAUCUUCCUCAUAAUUUACAAUCAAUUCAUUCAAUAUUUCUUUUUUUAGAUGACAAAUUCCAACAUUUAAAUUAUGUAUCAGAUAAUACCCUACCCUAUUCAUCUGGAAAUCUUGGUUCAAAUCCUUCGCUAUUAGGUGAAAGAUCCCUCUUCUUUACAUUUAUUAGAACUCUUUCUUCACGAGUAUUAUAAUUGGAAUAGUCUUAUUAAUCCAAAAAAAUUUAUUGUUUCAAAAAGUAAUCCACGAUUAUUCUUGCUCCUACAUAAUUCUCAUGUUCCUGUGCUUUUGUGAAAGAUGUUUAGUAAGACUAUCUCCAACCCUGACCUAAAAGCUAAAAUUUACCAUUUUCCCCCUCCAAAUCCACUCCAACCCAUGACUUAAAAUAAACCUAAAACCUAAAACCCAAAUGGAUGUCAAAUUCCGGCCCAAUUUUAGGCCACAAAGCAAAAUGGGCCCCACCAACUGAGAGUAAAACCAGGGCUGUGUUGCCCACUUCCCAACCUCCACCCGCCAACGCACCACACGCGCUUGGCAGAUUGUUGAAAGCAAACAGCCCCAUGUGGGGUUGUUCCCUGCUGUCAGAAAGCAAAAGCAGCCCAACGGCUACUUUUGGUGAUCCAACGGUUGUGUUUAAAUGGGCUGUUGGUUAAUCCAACGGUCCAGGUUCAAAUUAUUAUUAUUUUUGUUUUAUAUUUAUAUAUUUAUUGAAUCCAACGGUUUAAAUCGAAUAUAAUCAAAUCUAACGGUAACAAAAAAGAUCUAACGGAAUUUAAAUAUUUUUAGGUUAAAAUGUUCAUAUAAUUAAUUUAGGAUAGUCUACAUAAUUUUUUUUUUUUAAAGUUAAUUUUAAAAAAAAAUUAGCCUUAAUUCAUUUUUUGAUAAUCUGGGGCUAAAAUUUUAGGCCAAAAGGGUUGGAGUAGAAAAGCUGUUUCUAGGCUAAAACCUAAAUUUUGUGGGCUAAAUAUUUUUAGGUUUUAAGUCAGGAUUGGAGAUGGUCUAAGUAGAGUGAUUCUACCGAUAUUUGAAAUAAAAUUUGUGCUUUUGUGAAAGAUGUUCUGUAAGUAGCGUGAUUCUGCAAAUGUUUGACAUAAAAUUUGUCGAUAUUUUCGUCGAAAUAUUCGAAAAAUCAAGAACCUGCGAGAUAUAAUGAGUAUCGACAAUAAUUAUUGAUCCAUUACGUAAAUUUUGUCAUAAUCCAUUGCAGAUUUGGAACUUUUGAAAAAAAUUUCCUCUGGUUUUGACUAAAUCAAAAUGAGUUGAUGUACACAUACCUUCCAUAAUUUUCAUCGAAGACAACUAACAUCGACAUUUUCAUAAAUUUGCGUAAUGGUAUUAUCACAUGUACUAAUAUUUUAAACACGGUCUAUAGAUGUUUUGGGCUUGAACUAGUCUCUAUGGAAUGAGGUAGAUUUUUUUUUUAGUACAUCGAUAUUUUUACAUUAAGAGAGGAGGGAGUUCGGCAAAGUCACAUAAUGAGCAACCUAAUUUGGUAUCGAAUUCGCCAUCCACGAUAUUCGAACCUAAGACCUCUCAUUACCAAGUGAAGAAGAAUAUCAUCAGACCGUAGUAUUGAGUGGCUAGGCAGAUUUUUUUGUUUAUUAACGAAGUUCGAAAGUGAAACAAAAAUUGUUGAUAAGGACUUCAUAAACAAGCUAUUGGAAGCCUUAUGUUUAUGCGUCUAGAUUGCAUUAUUGGUUACUUAUUUAGCAGCAUAUAUUUGGUGUGGACAAGCAAGCUAGGCAUAGAACUUAAUUAGAUGUUGUCCAUAAUGGAUGCACUGUAACCGUUGUCAUACUGCCUGCUCCAGAGCAUAACUCCUCCGUACUUGGGCGAAUUCUUAAUCGUUGGAAGAACUUGUGACUUGAGAGCGUCAGCAGGAAUAAAUCCGCCGCUCGGAGCGGCCUCAGGAGCUGCUGGUAAACCCAAGAACACCUCGCUGGCCGGAACCGAGGCCCAUUGGUUCCAACUGCUCAAAAGAGCGUUGGCAUUACCGUCUGAAUACUGGCAUGGGGGGUUGUUGUAGAACUGAACCCAAACGUAGUCAAAUAAGCCAGUUUGGAUUGCGCCGUCUAGGUGAGCAUCCGGGAUUGGACAUUGUGGAGCUGCGGCUAAAUAGACCGUUUUUGCCUGUGUGUUGUGCCCGUUGAGUAACCUGGCGAGCUCAUCAUAGAACUGCCCACCACCUAUAACAAUGGCGAAAUCAACGCCGUCCAAAACAGCGUCCCCAAGCGGGCGCGAUGCUGACUGACCACCUAGGAAGUUGUUCCAGAUGUAAUCAGCAACUUGCCUUGCAUCAUCAGCUGAAGUGAGAUUGUAACUUCCGACAGCCCCUCCAAUCGAGAGGAGGACUUUUAUGUUUUGGGAUUGGCAAGCUCUGAUGUCGGCGCUCAGCCCCGUGCAAGUACUACUGCUGGGGUCGCAGUGUCCGGCGAGGUUGAGGGCAGGGACCUGGUUGUUUCCGAAAGUCAUGAGGAAAGCUAUGUUAACAAACUGGUAGUUGCCUGAGUUGCAAGCAUCUACUAGGGUUCCUUCGUUGCCGUUUUGUCCCCAAUACGUUGCGAUUCCGGCGGCUUGAGAGGACUUGCAUGAAGAAAUGAGAAUCAAGAGGAACAGCGUUAGGGCUAGGGUUUGUGUUUUGGUUGCCAUUUUGUAUGUGUUUUUUUUGUUGUUGCUCAAAGUGCUUGGGAGGGUACAUGUAUUUAUAGGUGCAGGGGACUUGUCGGUGAAGGUUUAGGGGAAGAGAAGUAUGACAGACGUGUCUUGCAGGUACAAAAUGGAUGCCAGUCUUCUGCUUGGAUCCGCGUCAACCAAGUUAGGGCCUGUUUAGUCCAAGUUUCACUUCACAACUUAGAAAUUUGUGAAUUAAGUUAGGUCGUGUUGCACGUUCUUUUUUCAAAAACCACUCAUAAGCGCUCUUAAUAUUUUUCGUAAGAAUGCAAGUGUUUUUAGAAAAAACACUCGAGAUGCUUAGCGUGUGAUUUUUCUAGAAAGCACUUUUAAGUGUUUUUUCAACCUAAAACACUUCAAAACCCUUUUAGUUGUUUUAAAGACACUUCCAACAGACACAAAAUGAAAAAUUACUUCCAAAGAGAAAUAUAGCAUGCUAUUUGAGAGAUUCCUAAACUAAAUAGCUAUUAAGCGUGACCUUAACCACUUAAUUAGGUGAAAUAAAAUAUCAAAUUUGACAAACAAUCUGAUGAACGCCAUAGCUAUAUGUUUAGUCAGUGGAUGAGAUAAUCAUGAAACAAUACGUGGAGAAUCAACACAGCCUUAUCAUCGCCAAAAAAUUUCAGCAUGCCAGAAACACGACCUGGUACAAUACUCUUGGUACCUCAAUUGUUGUCUUUAUUCCUGCAGAACCACAUGAGUGAGAUGUUUGCUUACCAUGCAACCAUGAUGUCCAAUACUCUUGGUACCUCAAUCGUUGUCUUUACCAAAACUGGUUUUAUGGCUUAUUCUAUUGAUCCAUUACCGACCUACGUAUACCGUGACCAUAUUUGCCUUUACGAAUGAAUGAGUUUUCAUGUUACCUCUCACAAAGGCAUUAGUUAAAAUUUUAACUGUAUCAGUUAUAUAGUACGCUGUGCAAGUUCUAUUCAUUAGCAAGUACUUUGAUUGUCAUGCAGUAAGAGCAUACAACGGAGAUUGGCUUUGUAUCAAGGCGUAUGUCCCAUAUACAUGGAGUUCCCAGAAGAUUCUGAAACAAGCUUUAGCAAUGCCUUGACUGUGCUGAAGGUGUUUUGCUGCAUAUUUCCUAAAUUUAUGGCGACGUAUGCUAUUCAACCAUGUCAGCACUGAUGGUGCAUUUUCUGGUGUUUUGUUUACAGGAGCAAGGAUUGGUAAAGGCAGGAGAAGAGGUCGCACUCGUUCAAAGUGGCAGGCAACCCAUUUGGCGGCUCCAACCCACUCACAACAUUCAAGUGCGAAAGUUUAGGUGCAACGUAGAUGGAAAACUCGUAGCUUUUGUGUUGUACUUCCAGUUGAAUGUCGUGAUAGUUUCUGAUGAAAUUGGGUUCCACCAUAAAACCAAUUGGCAAUAUGGGGAGUAGCCAAAGAUCAUAUAAGCACAUAGUAAACCUUGUCCCUCAUCAAUGUGGGACAACUCUCAACAUACCCCCGCACGUGUGACGGAAUUUCAAUCCUACACGUGGACAACAACUGGAUGACGUAGAGUGCGUGUGGCCGUUGGGCUUCACACGUGGACAACCUUGCUCUGAUACUAUGAUGAAAUUGGAGUUCCACCAUAAAACCAAUUAGCAAUAUGAGGAGUAGCCCAAGAUCAUAUAAACAUAUAAUAAACCUUGUCCCUCACCAAUGUGUGACAACUCUCAACUCCAAUGUGGGACAACUCUCAACAGUUUCUUGCUUUGGUUGUUUAAUUUUACUUCUGUUGCACACUUUUGUGGUCCUAUCUGCUUCUUUUUGUAUCCCUCUUUCCCCCUAAUUAGUUUGGGUGUAUGUUUUAGAACAGUAAGUUGUUUCAGUAUAAAUUUGGCAGUUUGAAUGAAAUGUCUUAACUUUUUACUCAAACUGUCUAAUUUUUUUUAAUUGUUUGAUUGAGGAGACAGAUUGUCACCUUAUAAUAUCCGCAGCAUAUACCGUUUGUCGCGUGGCCGUUGAACAUUGACUAGGUUAGGAUUAAGAUUGAGAGAGUCUGGUGCUUUUGUGAAUGUUAUUUUAUAGAUAGCGUGAUUAUACAGAUGGCAAAGCGCUUGAACUGGACUCGACAGAAUGAGGUAUUUAUUAACUAAGGUCAAAAGUCAAGCAAAAAUUGUUGAUAGGGACUUCAUAAACAAAAUUAAACAACAUUCGUUUGUAUAAUUAUCAAACCGACAAUAUCUUAGGGUGCUAUCCACACAUUCUUUUUUAUCUUUUGCACACUCCUCUCAAUUUUUAACUGCUAAAUCAAAUGAAUUGAAGAAUAUCAAAUAACAAAAAUUAACAGAGAAUGUGUGAAAGAUAAAACUGAGUGUAUAGAUAGCAUCACCCUAUCUUAUUAAGAUAAUGACAUCCUAUUUAUUUGAUAUAAUCUUUUAGGGACUAACCAAAACAUUGAGUUGCAAAAGUCAAACUCUUCCGAUGAUGGAAGAACUAAAUCCACUUUUAUCAUCACAAAACUUAACAUCACACCACCAUACUUCGACGACUUCUUUAUCACCAGUAGAAUUUCCGAAUUCAGCGAAGCAGCCGGAAUAUACCCACUUACGGCCGCUCAGGAGCCGCCGGCAACCCCAAAAACAUCUUUCUCAUACAAUGAUGUCACUUGGCGUCUUAACAAGGUGGGAGACUUUGGGAGGACUUUAUUGGGUAUUUCCAAGUACUCGGUACUCUAUGUAUUUUAACCAUUAGAUCUUUGUUUAGAAAUAUAAAAAUCAAAAUCUAACGGUUAAAACAUCCAAUGUACCAGUAGUACUGCUCAAAUUUUUUUGAGACAUUGAAUGCAAUCCCUCCAAAAAAUUAAUAGGUUAUACAGUAGUACCACUUCAACCGUGAUACUUUCAUUCAAAGGCUAGUUUUAUACUAAUAUGUGAUGCUUUCAUUCCAUAUUUGAGAGGGCCUUUGAAUAAGUAUAAAGCUAGCCUUUACAAUAUGAGCUAGCUAGCCUCCAUACACACAGUGCCUGCCAAUCAUGUAAAACCAUAGACAAUGAUACAAGACAAUUUAUUUGGACCUAUAAUUUCUUUUCAUAACUACAUCACAUCGCCCUUUAUGUAAAACUAUAUUUUAUUCAAUUUCAAAAAUUAGUACAUGCAAUAACAUGUUUUAUCAUAAAAAAUACGAUAAAUUUCAGGCCUCGUUUGGCAGCUCAGACUGUACUGACUAUUUCUGUCGGAUAGGAUAAAUAGUCAUCGGAUAGUACUGACUAAAUUAGUCGGGCGUUUGGUGCAGUAUCGGACUAAUGACUGUAUUAUUUAUACUGUGUUUGGUAUUAUACCGGAUAGAAGGAAUCAAACUUAAAAUAAAAUUAAAAAAAAAAUUAAAAUCAUCUCUCUUGUUCCAUAUCUCUCCGCCGCACCCCCCCAAACUCCCUCCCUUUCUAUCCCUUCCUCUUCUUCCCCGUCUGCUCCCCUGAACUAAACCCCACCACAAAGGCAGCAACAAGAAACCCAUCUUUCAAAUUCUCAUCGUUUUUUUCCCAAUCCUUAUUUUUUUUUAGCUACAAAUCAACCCAGCAAAAAAACACACCACAAACCAAGAAAAUUCACACAAAGGACUUUGUUUUCUAUUAGUCCUAAAAAACAAUUGGAAGGAAAUUCACGGAGGACACCUUUUUUUCAACAAACCAAGAACACUCAUCGGAGAGAAAAAUGGGGCUGACUGUGAUUUUGGGCAUUAGGUUGGGGAAAAGCAUUGACAAAAUUCGAUUUGGAGGAGGGGAAGAGCUGAGUGACGCCUCCAGUUGGCGAAUUCCUCAGCUUCCAUCCGCCCCUUUCUAUAUAUCCCUGUGGAAUAUGUUGUUUCGCUACUGGUCUCCUUUUGUCUCUCUCUCACUCUCUUCUUUGUUCCUCUGUGUGCUUUCCGUCGGACGAGACGGGAAAUUAGUCGGCGAAUGACUGCAGAGGAGUGGCGCCCGGGGUGGAGAACUCGUCGAGGAACUACUCGAAGGCCCACUUUGAGAAGUCGUUAACGGCGGCUUUGUGAAGUUGGAGAGGACAGCGCCCUGACUAAUUAUCCCGAGCUUUUGGGCUGUUUUAAUAGUACGUUGUCAACCGUAUAAAAUUUGAUGGGCCGGAUAAUUAAGCGGGUGCUUAUUUAGUACGAGAGUGCACCAAACAACAGCUCCUGUAUUACUUAUCCUAUCCGAUGCUUUAUACGGCGUGCCAAACGAGGUGAGCGUGUAUUAGAAAUACGGGAUGGUAAAUCACAUAUUAUUAUAUAAGUGAAAAAAAGUUUUAUUUUUUUAAGUGUGCCUCCACUUAUAUAAUAUAUUGUACUACCCAAAUUCUGAAUAAGUAAAAGAUCUCUCCGAAAAAUACAUAUGCAUGUUUUAUUCAAAAGGUAAGGAAUGAUGCGUCAUCAUCCCUAAUACACUUUAUUAUAGUAGUAGCAUCAAUUGAGGCAGAGAAGUUAAUUAGAUGCUGUCCUUAAUGGAUGCACUAUAACCGUUGUCAUAGAACCUGUUCCAAAGCAUAACUCCUCCGUACUUGGGCGAAUUCUUAAUCGUUGGAAGAACUUGUGACUUGAGAGCGUCAGCAGGAAUAAAUCCGCCGCUCGGAGCGGCCUCAGGAGCUGCCGGUAACCCCAUGAACACCUGGGUGGCCGGAACCGAGGCCCAUUGGUUCCAACUGCUCAAAAGAGCGUCGGCAUUACCGUCCGCAUACUGGCAUUGGGGGUUGUUGUAGAACUGGACCCAAACGUAGUCAAAUAAACCGGUUUGGAUAGCGCCGUCUAGGUGAGCAUCCGGGAUCGGACAUUGUGGAGCUGCGGCUAAAUAGACCGUUUUUGCCUGUCCGUUGUGUCCGUUGAGUGACUUGGCGAGCUCAUCAUAGAACUGCGCACCACCCGCCUCAAUGUCGAAAUCAACGCCGUCCAAAACCGCGUCCCCAAGCGGGCGCGAAGCUGACUGACCACCUAAGAAGUUGUUCCAGAUGUAAUCAGCAACUUGCCUUGCAUCAUCAGCUGAAGUGAGAGAGUAACUUCCGGCGGCCCCUCCAAUCGAGAGGAGGACUUUUAUGUUUUUUGAUUGGCAGGUUCUGAUGUCGGCACUCAGCCCGGUGCAAGUACCACUAGCGGGGUCGCAGUGGCCGGCGAGGUUUAGGACAGGGGUUUGGUUGUUUCCGAAAGUAGUGAGGAAAGCUAUGUUAACAAACUGGUAGUUGCCUGAGUUGCAAGCAUCUGCUAGGGUUCCUUCGUUUCCGUUUUGGCCCCAAUAGACCGCAAUUCCGGCGGCUUGGGAGGACUUGCAUGAAGAAAUGAGGAUCAAGAGGGACAGCGUUAGGGCUAGGGUUUGUGUUUUGGAUGCCAUUUUUAUAUGUUUUUUUGGGUUGUUGUUCAAAGUGCUUGGGAGUGGACAUGUACUUAUAGGUGCAGGGGACUUAUCGGUUAAGGUUUAGGGGAAGAAAAGUAUGACAGACGUGUUCUGCAGGUAAGAGUCUUCUGCUUGCAACCGCGUCAAUCACGUUAGGGCCUGUUUAUUUAGUCCAAGUUUCACUUUACAACUUAGAACACGUCAAUUAAAUUAGGUCGGGUUGAAAAUGCAUUUUCCAAAACCACUUUCACACAUAAGCGCUUCUUAUAUUUUCAUAAAAAUGCAAGUGGUUUUAUAAAAAAAAAAACUUGAGGUGUUUGGCGUGUGUUUUUUCAGAAAGCACUUAAAAUAUUUUUUCAACCUAAAAUCACUGAAUUUUUUAUGAUUUCAAAGUUCUUUUAAUUGUUUUGAAGGCACUUCCAACUGAUAUUUUAUAAAAAAUUACUUCUAGAGAGAAUUAUAGCAUGCUAAUUGAGAGAUUCCGAAACUAAAAAGCCAUCAAAUUUGCCAAAAAAAAAAUCUGAUGAGACAAUACGUGGAGAAUCAACACAGCUGUAUCAUCACCAAAAAUUUUCAGUGUGCAGAAAUACAGUCCGGUACAAAGUGUUAUAAUAAAAUUGGUUGAUUUUUUUUUUUAAGUUUCCAACUAAUUAUAUUAUUACACUUGAUGUACCGAUCCGUAUUUCUGAAAAAUCUCUCCUUACCAUCACAUCACAUGAAUGUUUUGGAAAGUUCGUAGAUAGAAACCAAAAUCUCUCCUUAUCAUCACAUCACAUCACAUGAACGUUUGGGAAGCUCGUCGAUAGAAACCAAAUGGAAUAUGCUUUUAGCUGAGGAUGGCCAUUGGCCAGGGACUUCGGUCUAAUCACGAUGCUUUAAUUUCGCAGUCGGAAAAAAACUUUCGAAUAAAAUUUAGGGUAUAUUUAGGAAGUGUUUUUAAAUGAUUGAAAACAUUUUUAGAAAUAUUUUUUUUUAAAAACGUUUCCAGUCAUUUAAAAAAACUUCUUAAACGAGUUUAAUUACUUGUGUAUGGGGCAACAUUUAGCUAGUAAUGGUUCUCAUGAAUUGGAUUGUGGUGAUGUGAAAAUGGGUUUGGGUUAGUUUAGUUUAGAGUUUAUAUUUACUAUCCGGUGCAUGCAAAUGGAAUGUCAAAUCUUUCAGAGAAAUUUUGAUAGAACUGCCACUUAGGGCAACACAUAUUAAACAAACAAAUGUAGGGUUGGAGAAGACUAAAAUACAUGAAUUCUCGUGUUUUCAUAAAUGUGAUCUAAAAAUAAUAUAGCAUGUGCCCUGAGAACAACGUGAUCAGUACCUAAUCGAAGUUCUCUAGUGUGGAAAGAUUCAAGAGGGGUGUGACGCUUCCGACAAAUAAAAAAUCACACAUUUUCGAAUUCGGAAAUGUAUAGAACAGAGCAGAUAUCACUAGAUGAAUGUUAACUGUUUUACAGAAAAUUUAUAAGACAAUUAGAGUUAAACAACAGAAGCUUGCACUUUAAAUGGUUAUGUCCAGCUGCUUUUGGUAUGUAUAUGCUUUUUCCAUGUCUCGAUGUAGUUCCAGUUCACUGCUCAUCAUCCUGGAACAAUGCUUUCGAAACAGAGCCGCACGGCUGGCUACUGUAUUCUCGGUAAUCUUCAUCGUCAUCACAGCUGCGUUGCGAGCAUGAACGUUUGAUUCCUGUCAUUGGGGUUUCACAGACUCUGUCAUCGCAUGAACCUCUAUGAUCCUUCCUUUUAAACAGCUUUCGAAGCGGAUUUGACUUUGGUUUCAAUGGUUUCAGCCGUUUGGGGGCCCAAACUCUCUGCAGAUCGGGCAUCCAUCUUGUGGAUGAAGCGAAUCUCCAAGCCCUCUCUCUCCUCUCUUGAGCUUCAAGUAACUUGCGAGCAUGGUCGUCCUAUUGUUUGAUCUCUUCGACGCUUGGUCUUCCAAUAUCAGUUUUCAGCGGACGAAGAGACUCACCUUCUGCUUGUAAUGAGUCCCAGAUUCUAUAACUUCCAUCCACUUCGACACUCUUCGGUUUUUCUUUACAGGAUCGAUUGCUAUCCUCACUGUUGAGUAAACUAUUAGGGAGUUCUUCCUCAUCAGCAAACAGUAACAAAUCCAUUUUCGUAUAGAUUUUGUGAACCACAUCUUCAAGUGUCUCACAGUACCUGAAAAAUGUCCAAAUUCAGGCUCUUGACAAUUUGACAAAGCAUUUCAUUGAAAAGGUUCAAUCCUUACUACCAUUAUAAUUUAUAAUGUGUUGUAUGGUUUACCUCGUAAUGGUGCUAAGUUAUUUCUACAGUUUUGGGGCAUUUUUUUUGCAGUUUCGGUGCAAUUUUGAUGCAGUUCUUUUUUUUUGCAAUUUUGCUGCAUUGUUGUUGCUGUUUUUGCUGCAUGUUCAUUGAUUAAUAAAAAGGUCGUACCCAGUGCACAAGGCUCCCUUGAUUAAUAUAUGAGAAAAAUAAGACUGUCAUAUGCUUAAAUAGGUGUAUAUUUUAAAUUAUACAUUUUUUUUUCAAAAAUCGAACCGAAACUGUUUGAAACCGUACCGCACCAAACCAAACGGUUUGGUUUCAUUUCAGUUUUGGCUUCAAAACUGCACCGAACCGCACCGCAAAAAAAUUUGGUUUCGGUUGCGGUUUCACUCGAAACCGCACCGAAGCGCACCGCGCCCACCCCUACAGGGGACUUGUCGAUGAAGGUUUAGGGGAAGAGAAGUAUGACAGACGUGUCUUGCGGGUACAAAAUGGGUGCCAGUCUUCUGCAUGCAUGGAACCGCGUGAACCAAGUUAGGGCCUGUUUAGUCCAAGUUUCACUUGACAACUUAGAAAUUUGUCAAUUAAGUUAGGUCGUGUUGGAAAUUCUUUUUUCAAAAACCACUCAUAAGUGCUUUUAAUAUUUUUCGUAAGAAUGCAAGCGUUUUUAGAAAACACACUCAAGGUGCUUAGCGUGUGCUUUUUUUUAGAAAGCACUUUUAAGUGUUUUUUCAACCUAAAAACACUUGUUUUAAAGACACUUCCAACAAACACAUAAUUAAUGGAAAAUUACUUCCAGAGAGAAAUAUAGCAUGCUAUUUGAGAGAUUCCAAAACUAAAAGCUAAAUAGUUAUUAAGCGUGACCUUAACCAAGGUGAAAUAAAAUAUCAAAUUUGACAAACAAUCUGAUGAACGUCAUAGCUAUAUGUAUAGUCAGUAGAUGAGAUAAUCAUGAAACAAAACGUGGAGAAUCAACACAGCCUUAUCAUGGCCAAAAUUUGUCUGUGUGCCAGAACCACGGCCUAGUACACUAAAAGUGUCAUAAUAGAAUUGGUUGGAAAUUCAUUCGGUUACAACUGACUCUGAAGUCUUUAUUUCUGCACAACCACAUAGUGAGAUGUUUGCUUACCAUGCAACCAUGAUGUCCAAUACUCUUGGUACCUCAAUCGUUGUCUUUACCAAAACUGGUUUUAUGGCUAUUCUAUUGAGCCAUUACCGACCUACCGGGAUCAUAUUUGCCUUCACGAAUGAGUGAGUUUUCAAUUUACCUGUCACAAAGGCAUUUAGUUAAAAUUUGUAACUGUAUCAGUCAAAAUAUGCUGUGAAAGUUCUAUUCAUUAGCAAGUACUUUGAUUGCCAUGCAGUAAGAGCAUACAACGGAGAUUGGCUUUGUAUCAAGGCGUAUGUCCAAUAUAUACAUGGAGUUCACAGAAGAUUCUGAAACAAGCUUUAGCAAUGCCUUGACUGUGCUGAAGGUGAUGUUUUGCUGCAGAUUUCCUAAAUUUAUGGCGACGUAUGCUAUUCAACCAUGCCAGCACUGAUGGUUCAUUUUCUGUUGUUCUGUUUGCAGGAGCAAGGAUUGGUAAAGGCAGGAGAAGAGGUCGCACUCGUUCAAAGUGGCAGGCAACCCAUUUGGCGGCUCCAAUCCACUCACAAAAUUCAAGUGCGCAAAAUUUAGGUGCAACGGAGAUGGAAUAAUCGCCCUCGUAACAUAGAUUUCUUCGUCUACACUACAAAAGUUUCAAAUGAUAGCUUUUGUGUUGUACUUCCAGCGGAAUUGUCGUGAUACUUUCUUCCUUUGGUUGUUUUUUUUCUUCUGUUGCACACUUUUGUGAUCCUAUCAAUGUGCUUCUUUUUGUUUCCGAUUUCCCCCUAGUUAAUUUUGGCGUAUGUUUUAGAACUGUAAGUUGUUAAAGUAUAAAUUUGGCAGUUUGAAUGCAAACUGUCUAAAUUUUUUUAAUAGUUCGAUUGAGGAAACAGAUCGUCACACUCACAUUCUAAUAUCCGCCGCUUACCGUUUGUCGUGUGGCCGUUUAACACUGACUAAGGUAGAUCUCACAUCAGAUCAGCACGGGACUAGGUUCCGUGCUCUUGUGAAAGUUAUUCUACGUACGACGUGAUUCUACACAUGGUUUGUGGUUUGGGCUUGAACCGGUCUCUACGAAAUGAGGCAGAUUUUUUGUUUAUUAACAAAGGUCAAAAGUCAAACAAAAAUUGUUGAUACAGACUAUCUUAAACAAAAUUAAACAACAUUCGCUUGAAUAAUUAUCAAAUUGACAAUGUCUCAUAGGUGAUGCUGUCCAUACACUCUUUUUAUUUUUCACUCACUCCUCCCAAUUUUUAACCGUCAGAUCGAAUAAAUUAAAGAUGAUCAAAAGACAAAAAUUAACUGAAGAUAUGUGAAAGAAAAAACAAAAUGUAUAUAUAGCAUCACCUAUCUUAUUAGGAUAAUGACAUCCGAUUUAUUUGAUAUAAUCUUUUAGGGAAACCAAAACGUUGAGUUACAAAAGUCAAACUCUUCCGAUGAUGGAAUAACUAUAUCCAUUUUUAUCAUCACAAAACUCGGACCCUAACAUCACACCACCAUACUUCGACGACUUCUUUAUCACCAGUAGAAUUUCCGAAUUCAGCAAAGCAGCCACAAUAUACCCACUUCUGGCCACCUCAGGAGUGGCCGGCAACCCCAAAAACAUCUUCCCUUUCUAAUACAUUAAUGAUGUCAGUUGGCGUCUUAACAAGAUGGGAGACUUUGGAGUCGCUUUAUUGGGAUCUCCCGAGUACUCGGUACUCUAUGUAUUUUAACCGUUAAAUCUUUGUUUAAAAAUAUAAAAAUCAAAUUCUAACAGUUAAAAUAUUCAAAAUAUCCAUAGUACCGCUCGAAAUUUUUUGAGACAUUAAAUGCAAUCCCUCCAAGAAAUCAUCUCAAAUUUUUUUGAGACAUUAAAUGCGAUCUCUCCAAGAAAUUAUUAGAUUAUACCGUAGUACCAUCUCAGCCGUGGUAGUUUCAUCCAAAGGCUAGCCUUUACAAUAUGAGCUAGCCAGCCUUCAUGCACACAGUGCCUGCCAAUCAUGUAAAACCAUUGACAAUGAUACAUGACAAUUUAUUUGGACCUAUAACUUCAUUUCAUAACUACAUCAGAUAACCGUUUAUGUGCAACUAUAUUUUAUUCAAUUUCAAAAAUUAGCAUAUGCAAUGACAUGUUUUAUCGUAAAAAGUACAAGAAAUUUUCAACGUAUCACAAAUACAAAGUGUUAUACCACAUGUCAUUAUAUAAAGAGAAAUUUUUUAUAUUUUAAGUCUGUCUCCACUUAUAUAAUAUGUGUUGUACCAUCCGAAUUCCGGAUCAGUAAAAGAUCUCUCCAAAAAUACAUAUGCAUGUUUUAUUCAAAAGGUUAGGAAUGAUGCGUCAUCAUCCCUAACGCACUUUAUUAUAAGUAGUAUCAUCCAUUGAGGCAGAGAAGUUAAUUAGAUGCUGUCCUUAAUGGAUGCACUAUAGCCGUUGACAAUGUCAUACUGCCUGCCCCAGAGCAUAAUUCCUCCGUACUUGGGCGAUUUCUUAAUCGUUGGAAGAACUUGUGACUUGAGAGCGUCAGCAGGAAUAAAUCCGCCGCCCGGAGCGGCCUCAGGAGCUGCCGGUAUACCCAAGAACACCUGGGUGGCCGGAACCGAGGCCCAUUGGUUCCAACUGCUCAAAAGAGCGUCGGCAUUACCGUCUGCAUACUGGCAUGGGGGGUUGUUGUAGAACUGAACCCAAACGUAGUCAAAUAAACCGGUUUGGAUAGCGCCGUCUAGGUGAGCAUCCGGGAUCGGACAUUGUGGAGCUGCGGCUAAAUAGACCGUUUUUGCCUGUCCGUUGUGUCCGUUGAGUGACCUGGCGAGCUCAUCAUAGAACUGCGCACCACCCGCCUCAAUGUCGAAAUCAACGCCGUCCAAAACCGCGUCCCCAAGCGGGCGCGAAGCGGACUGACCACCUAAGAAGUUGUUCCAGAUGUAAUCAGCAACUUGCCUUGCAUCAUCAGCUGAAGUGAGAGAGUAACUUCCGGCGGCCCCUCCAAUCGAGAGGAGGACUUUUAUGUUUUUUGAUUGGCAGGUUCUGAUGUCGGCACUCAGCCCCGUGCAAGUACCACUAGAGGGGUCGCAGUGGCCGGCGAGGUUUAGGACAGGGGUUUGGUUGUUUCCGAAAGUAGUGAGGAAAGCUAUGUUAACAAACUGGUAGUUGCCUGAGUUGCAAGCAUCUGCUAGGGUUCCUUCAUUGCCGUUUUGGCCCCAAUACGUCGCGAUUCCGGCGGCUUGGGAGGACUUGCAUGAAGAAAUGAGGAUCAAGAGGGACAGCGUUAGGGCUAGGGUUUGUGUUUUGGAUGCCAUUUUUGUAUGUUUUUUUGGGUUGUUGUUCAAAGUGCUUGGGAGUGGACUUGUACUUAUAGGUGCAGGGGACUUAUCCGUUAAGGUUUAGGGGAAGAAAAGUAUGACAGACGUGUUCUGCGGGUUAGAAAUGGGUGCCAGUCUUCAGCUUGGAACCUCGUCAAUCAAGUUAGCUAGGGCCUGUUUAGUCCAAGAAGUUUCACAUAAAACGCCGAUUAAGUUAGGUCGGGUUGGAAAUGCUUUCUUCAAAAACUACUUACACACGUAAGCGCUUCUUAUAUUUUUCAUAAGAAUGCAAGUGCUUUUGAAAAAAAACACUUGAGCUGUUUCGUGUGUUUUUUUCAGAAAAUACUUUAAAUGUUUUUUCAAACUAAAAAUCCAUUAAAGCUCCUUUACUUGUUUAAGGGCACUUCCAAAAUCAUAUUUAAAGAAAAAUUACUUCUAGAGAGAAUUAUAACAUGCUAAUUGAGAGAUCCCGAAACUAGAAACUAGAUAGUUAUAAUGAAGCGUGACCUUAACUGCUUAAUUAAGUGAAAAAAGCCAUCAAAUUUGACAAAAAGUCUGAUGAAAGGUCAUAGCUGUAUCAUCUGUAGAUGAGAUAAUCAUGAAACAAUGUGGGGAAUCAACACAUCCUUAUCAUCGUCAAAAAAAAAAAUUCACUGUGCUGGAAGCACGUUCAAUUGAACGUUUUGGAAGUUUGUGGAUAGAAACCAAAUGGAAUAUGCUUGUAACCAAAAUUGCUGGCUGCUAUAUACAUCUUGGAUUUUAGCUGAGGUGGCCAUUGGCCAAGGACUUUGGUCUAAUCACGAUGCUUUAAUUUCGCAAUCCAAAAAAAAAAUUCAGAUAAAAUUUAGAACACGUUUUGGGAGUGCUUUCAAAUUACUGAAAGCGAUUUUAGAAAGAAAAAAAAUGUUUAUAUAACUAAUCUUUAAUAAAAAUGCAAGUUAAUCCUCCAAAAGUACUGAAACUAGUGCUUCUUUGAUAAAACACUUCAAGUGCUUUUGGAGCUCAAAAAUAUUAUCUCAAGUGGUUUCAGUCAUUUAAAAACACUUUCUAAACGAGUUAAUGACUCGUGUAUGGGGCAACAUUUAGCAAGUAACGGCUCUCAUGAAUUGGAUUGUGGUGAUGUGAAAAUGGGUUUGGGUAAGUUUAGUUUAGACCAGUCAGCAGUGUUUAAAAUAUCCACGACAUUAUCGAUAUUUUCGUUGAAAUAUCCUUAAAAUUAAGGGUCCAUAAGCAAAAGAAGGAUGAAAUGCAAACUUCACCCUAUAUCGGCAAGAUACAAGAAAACAAUGAAUAUAGACAAUAUGUAACAACUCGUCCCAAGAUUUACUGUAUAUAAAUGGUAUUUUUGUAUUUUCAUCAAGUUUGGGAAUUUAUCUUCCUUUUAAAAUUUGUUUUUGGUCUUAAAUGGUGAUCCAAGGGGACCCACUCCCCUGAUUUUGUCCCCGAGCCCUCUUCUCUCUUUCUUCCUCUCCUCUUCCCUUUCCCCUUUCCCGUAUACUUCUAUUCCUCUCUUCUCUAUGAUCACACUCACACCCAGCUGCACUCCCUGCUCGAGGAAGACGCAAUCACCAUCUAAACCACGUCCCUUUCCUCUUCCUCUUGCCUCUGUGCAACUCGGCGAAACCAAGAAAAUAACCUCCGGCAAGUCCGACGGCUUUCGAAGCCAUUUCCUGCCAAACCACGGCGCGUUGGCCGGCGUGCAAGGUAUCAAUCUCUUCGUCCCGUCAAGUACUAUAACUUUUCUUUUUGUUUCACUCAAUUUAAUUGAGUAUUGAAGAAGUUAUACUCAUUUGAAUCUUACCCAGUUUCCGGCGACCUCCGAGGCUUUCGAGGAAAUUUCAGGCCAAACCAUGGCGAGUCAGACGUGAGGUAUCAUUCUCUUCGUCUCUUCCAGGACUACAACUUUCGUUUUUGUCUCGCUUGAUUUCGUUGAGUAGUGACAAAGUUAUGGCUGUUUAAAGUGGGGUGGUUUUCCGGCCGAAUUUCCGGCCUUCUUCUUCCUUGGCAACAGGCCACCCGGCCUUUCCCUCUCCCUCGGACCUUAGGCCCGUGUUGUCUUAAGCCCAAAACCCUAGCCUUUAGUUUUAAGUUUUAUUAUUUGGUUUUAAAACCCUAAAAAGGGCCUUGGGCCGGUGGUUUUUAAAAAGGGCUUAAAGCCCUGUUUUUCUUUAUUUAUUUUUAUUAAGGCCUUAAGGCCUUGUGAUUUUGUGCCCGUGGGUGUGUGUGUUAGGUGUGUAUGUGUUUAUGCAUGCACAUGCAUGCCGUGUGUGUGUGUGUAUUUGUAGUAUGUGUGUGUUUGGGCUAAAGCCCAAACCCCAAUUCUCACCCUAAAACCAUUUUAACCCAAAAUCCUAGGUUCCUAAAAUCCUUUAAAACCCUAAACCCAUCCAAUCCCAAAUCCCCUAUUUUAUUUAAACCUAAACCCUAAUCCGGAUUUCAAGCCUAAAACCCAUUUGACCGUUGACCCCCGGUCAACGUUGAUUUUAGGGUUGACUUUUCGGGUUUUCGUCCGGGACCCUUCUUAGGGUAAUUCGACGUUCUAAAUCCGUUUCCAAUGUCCAUUUUCCCAAAUUCAAUUGUUAUUAUAUAGUUUUAUUUAUUGGACUCUUUAUGUGCUUAGGGGCAAUUAUUGUGACGUUUCCAUCUUCGCUAGUGGCACAGCUUUUGGCAACUAAGUAUUGUGAGUGGACCCCUUCUAGAAUUACAUGAUUUGAUAAUUUAAUUGCAUAAAUGAUUAGCAUGCCUACGAAUUUAUGAUUUGAUUUAUGUGAAGCCUGAUGAUUUAAUAUAUUGAUUAUCGUCUCGGGUUUUGGUGAGGAAUUAUUUGUUAGCCUAUAUUGAGCUAUAUUUUAAUAUAUCGUAUUUUCUAUUAAAACCAUGAACUGGUAGACUAUCUGAUAGAUGACGAUAGGAUGCUAGAACAUGUUUUUGAACCCCUCUUUAUAGUGUAGACGAUGAUCGGUAACCUAUGCUAUGAAGUGGUUUUUUUUAGAGAGACGUAACUAUUUGUGCGUACCUAGUAGACACUAUGCCGCCUGGGGCAAGGAACUGGUGUUGGCAUUUAGGCCGGGAGAAAUAAUCCCUAGCGAAAGGCUGAGGGACACGGAGACAGGCAGUGGGCCAAGAGGGAGUUAUCUCUGGCUACGGGCACAGAGACUGAGGUGCAAGCAUUGGGCCGGGAGUUAUAUUUAUUCAGUGAUCUUUCUAGCAGCACACUGCGUUUACGAGACGAUUUAUGAUGCGUUUACUGUUUUGAUUUCCGCGAUGUUUUUCCGCGUUAUGGCGUUUGAGAUAUUUUUGGCAUACUAGGAUUUUUAUUAAAUCCAUCACUUAUUAUGCUAGUAGUUUUCAUUUAUAUAAACUUUGGGGGUUAGUAUGUUGAUAAUUGUUUUAUUAUUAUUGUAUAUAUAAACUUGGUCCACUCACCUUUGUUUUGCGCCCCCAUUCAGGACUUAGAAUCAAGGCACCUAAUCCCGGCGUGAAGACACUUUCGCAGCAGCAUCUUCGGAUCCUCUCGAUGUAGGACUCACUCCUUUACUCAUUAAAUUUUAUCUUAAUUCUUUUUAGUGAUUAGAUUUAGUUGUAUGCUCUGAGCACGUUCCUAAAACUUUUAACUCUUAGUUUUUAAAUUCAUAACACUUACUUAUUUCUUAUUCUUAGCUUUUGUAUCAAUUAAUGGCUUUCGUCACCCUCGGGUGUCGGCCAGCAUGUGUCUUCCUGGUAUUCGGGGAAUAUCAGGGUCGGGGCGUGUCACAAUAUUUACGGAUUAAUUACAAAAUUUUGCUAAUACCUAUUGCAGAUUUCGAACUGUAGAAUUUUUUUUAUAAAUUUUUUCUUUAAUUUCAACUAAAUCUGAAUGAGUACUUACCCCAUUGUAAAUUUCCAUCGAAGACUUUCCAACUAUAUCGAUAUUUUAAACACUGGUUUAGACCAACAUGUUUAAUAUCCAGUGCAUGCAAAUAGAAUGUCAAAUCUUUUUGAAAAACUUCAGUAUGACUGCCACUUAAGGGCAACUAGCAUAUUAAAGAGACCAAUGCAAAGUUGGAUGAGACUAAAAUACAUAAAGUCUCAUGUUUUGGUGAGAUGUGGUUUACAAAUGAUAUAGCAUGUGCCCUACGAAAAACGAGAUCGGAUUACCUAAUUGAAGUUUCUCUAGCAUGAAAAAUUCAAGAGGGAUGUGACGGUUCCGGAAAGUAAAAAAUCACACAUUUUUAUUAAUAAUUUUUUUGUUCGAAUUCGGAAAUGUAUAGAACUGAACAAAUGGAAUAGUGGCUCAGUGAUACCAACAAUUUCAUGUUGCAAAUUACAAAAAAAAAAAAAAAAAAAAAAAAAAAAGGAAAUGUUUUACACAAAAUUAAUGACAAUUAGAGUUAAACAACAGAAACUUGCACUUUAAAUGGUUUUUUUCUGCUGCUUUUGGUAUGUAUAUGCUUUUUCCGCACCGCUGGCUACUGUAUUCUCGGUAAUUUUCAUCGUCAUCCCAGCUGCGUUGCGAGCAUGAACGUUUGAUUCCUGUCAUUGGGGUUUCACAUACUCUGUCAUCACAUGAACCUCCAUGAUCCUUCCUUUUAAACAGCUUUCGAAGUGGAUUUGACUUUGGUUUCAAUGGUUUCAGCUGUUUUGGGGCCCAAAUUCUCUGCAGAUCGGGCAUCCAUCUUGUGGAGUAAGCGAACCUCCGAGCCCUCUCUCUCCUCUCUUGAACUUCAAGUAACUUGCGAGCAUGGUCGUCCUUUUGUUUGAUCUCUUCAGCGCUCGGUCUUCCAAUAUCAGUUUUCAGCGGACGAAGAGACUCACCUACUGCUGGUAAUGAAUCCCAGAUUCUAUAACUUCCAUCCACUUCGACACUCUUCGGUUUUUCUUUACAGGAUCGAUUGCUAUCCUAACUGUUGAGUAAACUAUUAGGGAGUUCUUCCUCAUCAGCAAACAGCAACAAAUCCAUUUUCUUAUAGAUUUUGCGAACCACAUCUUCAAGUGUCUCACAGUACCUGAAAAAUUCCAAAUUCAAAGAUUAAUCUAUCUGCUUAAGUUAAUUUUCCAUCUCAAACAAAAAUUGAUUGCCCGCACAUGUACUUCCGGAAAACUAAUUCCAGGAACGGAUUAUUUAAGCAACAUCGUUUCUUCAAGGAUCAUACUGUAGACAUACACUAUUGGCACAUUGCAAAAGUUGUAUAAACAUAUUCCACACUCGUUCAGAAAAACAUGGGUACGAUGUGCGCAUAACUGGCCUAUAUCCUGUCAAUCUACACUGAUAAGGAAAGACACUUUAACUCAUCUAAGAUUAUAAAGACAACCACUUUCCUUAUUUAGCAUUGUUGCAAAGGUAAGUAGGACAUGAUUUGUUAGAUAGGUAGUAAUAUCCCACAUGAAAGUGGAACACAGUGGCACCGGAAAUGUGUAUUUGUUGAGACAUGAACGAUAGACUGAAUGCAGCGUGUGCUAUAUAGCCUUUCAGCGAAAGCCAUAAUGCCUCAGUAAAACAUCCAUUAUAUAAAGUAAAGAAUAAUUUCAAGGGUAGGGGUUUUCAACUGUGGUACAGAUUUAUUACCUGCUUUUUAUGAUCUUUUCAACAUAAUCAUACACUCCAGUCACCAAAGAAGCCCUCCAGAUGACAUCGAAUUUUCUCCAAAAAGGAGCAAAUCUGUUUUACAGACUUCUGUUUUGUAGAUUCAGCAAUACGUGCACCAACCUCUGAUUGUAGUAUCUCCAUCCGGAAAAAUAUCUGCAAUUCAUAUCGUGCACGAGCUGGCGCAAGGAGGCGGCGAAGCACGAAGCCCGGGGCGGCGAUGCCGGGUCGAGGCGAAAUGCGGGGAGGGAAUUGAGGGUUUGGGAGAGGGAAUUGAAAGUGGGGCCGGGGAGGUGGAAAGAGAGGGAGAGAGAAGUGGGGAGCUUGGAGGAGGAGAGCAGCGGAGAGAGGGAGGAGAAGAAGGGUCUGAAGGCGAAGAGAGAGGCGGAGAGAGGAGGGAAAGAGAGGAUGGUUUUGACGGCGGCGAGGAAGGCUGUGAGAAAUGGAGCUGGGUUUUGGAGGUGGAGGAGUGGGUUGAGGCCUAGGAGGAGGACGAUGCGCUGCGUUUUGCCGUAGUCGGCGAUUGGGUCGCCGGAGCUCCGUUCAGAUGCCAUCGCAUUUGCAGGAGGAGAAAGAGACGGACUUGGGUUGCAGAGAAGGGAGAUGCAAAUGUGGAAUUAAGGAACAGUAAACCGAAUACGCAGUCGUUUUAGUAGAAAAACGACGAUACGGUAGAUGCUUGAGCGGGAAACCAAAUUUUGGCUGUAAAGGAAAUGUUUUAGGCCCCGUUUGGGAUUGAGGUGAUUUUAAAAAAAGCCACUGUGAAAAAAAGCUGAGGGUCAUUUUUGUGUUUGGUAAACUGAAAAAAGGGCUUAUUUUGGAAGCUGCUGUGAAAAUAAGCUGAAAAUCAAAGGAAAAGCUGAAGCUGCUAUUUGCUGCUUUGAAAAAAAGCCAGUUUUUUCAAAGCACACAGAGCUACAAUGCUCCUUUAAUGAAAAGACACACUAUCAUCCUGAUUUUUUUUCCAAAAGCACUUUCACAAAAAAGUUUACCAAACACUCUACUGCUUUAUUUCACAGCCGCUUAUUCUCACAGCACAGCCGCUUAUUCUCACAGCAGCUUUUUUUCAAAGCACAGCAAUACCAAACCAGCCCUUAAUCUCAUGAAGGACCUGUUUGGACUGCAUCUAAAUUUGUUAAAAGCGCUUUUAGAGAACAAAAGAGCUUUUGACAUCAGUUGAAAAAAAAAAAAUAUUUAAAGUACUUCUUCACGUGAAAAAAACACAUGGUUUUUAAUGAAAAUUCCAACAUGAUUUGAAUGAAAGUGCUUUCAAAAAGUAUUAUGAAUAGAUAUGCUUUUUUAUAUGCUUCUAUGAAAAGUGCUUUUUGCAAACAAUGUCGGGCUCGUUUGUAAUUACUUUUAAAAUGGUUGAAAGUGUAUUUCGUAAAAAUAUUUUUAGAAACAAUAUUUAGUAAAAUGCAAGUGAAUCCUAAAAAAAACACUUCAAGAAUAGAACAACCAAAGGGGCGAAAACUGUAAACCUCAUAGCAACCGAAUUACAAUUCGAGAACAUACCCGUUACUGAAUCCCAAAUCGCUGGUUCCCAAGUGUAGUCAUGCACAAGCUCGUUUAGAACCAAUAUUUUCUCUAAGAACGAUUUCAAUCAUUUGAAAAACAUUUUUAAACGAACUGAUGUUUUUAGGAGAAACACAAUGAGGAGCAAAUGAUUCCUAGGCGAGAAGAAAAACUAGACAGAAUGUUAAAUAGCACAUUAUGUACCAAUUUUUCUUCAACAAAUUGGAACUACUGAGAAGUUUGGAAACUAAAAAGUAAAGAUUGAUUCUAAGGAUUCUAACCCUGAUGAUUGCUUAUACAGUCGAACUACUUGAAUAGACUGGACUACCGAAGAUAAACUCAUACAUAUACGAAUUAUUAAAAAGUGAAAGAGGCUCAUCUCAGUUUUUUUUUUUUUUUUUAGUUGAAAGAAAAAAAAGGUAAAACAUGGAGAAGAUCAUGAACAGUAAUGGGUUUUAGUAUAUAUAAAUAUAAUUUGUAACUGUAUCUGUCCAAAUAUGCCGUGCAAGUUCUAUUCAUUAGCAGGUACUUUGAUUGCCAUGCAGUAAGAGCAUACAACGGAGAUUGGCUUUGUAUCAAGGCGUACGUCCCAUACACCUCUUUUAUGGGUGAUGCUGUCCACACACUUCUUUUAAUUACCAGUCGUCAUAUAGAAUGAAUUCAAGAGGAUCAAAUGACUAAAAUUAACAGAGAAUAUGUAAAAGAUAAACCAGAGUGUAUGGAUAACACCACCCUAUCUUAUUAGGAUAAUAACAUCCGAUGUGUUUGAUAUAAUCUUUUAGGGACUAACCAAAACAUUGAGUUACAAAAGUCAAACACUUCCGAUGAUGGAAGAACUAUAUCCACUUCUAUCGUCACAAAACUUGGACAAUAACAUCACACCACCAUACUUUGACGACUUCUUUAUCACCGGCAGAAUUUCCGAAUUCAACAAAGCAGCCGGAACAUACCCACUCUUGGCCGCCUUAGGAGCCGCCAGCAACCCCAAAAACAUCUUCCCUGUCUAAUACAAUGAUGUCACUUGGCGUCUUAACAAGAUGGGAGACUUUGGAGGGACUUUAUUGAGUACUCCAGAGUACUCAGUACUCUCAUUUGUUUAAAAAUAUAAAAAUCAAAAUCUAACGAUUAAAACAUCUAGAGUAUCCAUAUAUAGUACUGCUCAAAACUUUUUGAGACAUUGGACGUGAUCCCUCCUAGAAAUUAUUAAGUUAUACAGUAGUACACUUCAGCCGUGAUACUUUCAUUCAAAGGCUAGCUUUAUACUAAUAUGUGAUACUUUCAUUCCAUAUUUGAGAGCCAUUGGAUAAGUAUAAAGCUAACCUUUACAAUAUGAGCUAGUUAGUUAGCCUUCACACACACAGUGCCUGCCUAUCAUGUAACCAUUGACAAUGAUACCCGACAAUUUAUUUGGAGAGAGGGUCCUCACUCAUUUAUUUGGACCUAUAACUUCAUUUCAUAAUAACUCCAUCACAUCAUUUUAUGUACCAUAGUUUAUUCAAUUUCAAAAAUUAGUACACGCAAUAACAUGUUUUAUCGUAAAAUAUACGAGGUUUUUUAGUAUAUUAGAAAUACGAGAUGAUGCACCACAUGUCAUUAUAUAAAUGAAGAGAAAUUUUUUUUUUUUUUAAAUGUGCCUCCACUUAUAUAAUGUAUUGUACCACCCAAAUUCUGAAUAAGUGAAAGAUCUCUCCAAAAAAUACAUAUGCAUGUUUUAUUCAAAAGGUAAGGAAUGAUGCGUCAUCAUCCCUAACACACUUUAUUAUAGUAGUAGCAUCAAUUGAGGCAGAGAAGUUAAUUAGAUGCUGUCCUUAAUGGAUGCACUAUAACCGUUGUCAUAGAACCUGCUCCAAAGCAUAACUCCUCCGUACUUGGGCGAAUUCUUAAUCGUUGGAAGAACUUGUGACUUGAGAGCGUCAGCAGGAAUAAAUCCGCCGCUUGGAGCGGCCUCAGGAGCUGCCGGUAACCCCAUGAACACCUGGGUGGCCGGAACCGAGGCCCAUUGGUUCCAACUGCUUAAAAGAGCGUCGGCAUUACCGUCUGCAUACUGGCAUGGGGGGUUGUUGUAGAACUGAACCCAAACGUAGUCAAAUAAACCGGUUUGGAUAGCGGCGUCCAGGUGAGCAUCCGGGAUCGGACAUUGUGGAGCUGCGGCUAAAUAGACCGUUUUUGCCUGUGCGUUGUGUCCGUUGAGUGACCUGGCGAGCUCAUCAUAGAACUGCGCACCACCCGCCUCAAUGUCGAAAUCAACGCCGUCCAAAACCGCGUCCCCAAGCGGGCGCGAAGCGGACUGACCACCUAAGAAGUUGUUCCAGAUGUAAUCAGCAACUUGCCUUGCAUCAUCAGCUGAAGUGAGAGAGUAACUUCCGGCGCCCCCUCCAAUCGAGAGGAGGACUUUUAUGUUUUUUGAUUGGCAGGUUCUGAUGUCAGCACUCAGCCCCGUGCAAGUACCACUAGGGGGGUCGCAGUGGCCGGCGAGGUUUAGGACAGGGGUUUGGUUGUUUCCGAAAGUAGUGAGGAAAGCUAUGUUAACAAACUGGUAGUUGCCUGAGUUGCAAGCAUCUGCUAGGGUUCCUUCGUUGCCGUUUUGGCCCCAAUAGAUCGCAAUUCCGGCGGCUUGGGAGGACUUGCAUGAAGAAAUGAGGAUCAAGAGGGACAGAGUUAGGGUUAGGGUUUGUGUUUUGGAUGCCAUUUUUGUAUGUGUUUUUUUGGGUUGUUGCUCAAAGUGCUUGGGAGGGGACAUGUACUUAUAGGUGGAGACUUACUGGUUAAGGUUUAGGGGAAGAAAAAUAUGACACACGAGUUCUGCUUGUAAGAAAUGGAUGCCAGUCUUCUGCUUGUCAAUCAAGUUAGCUAGGGCCUGUUUGGUCGAAGUUUCACAUGAAACGUCGAUUAAGUUAGGUCGGGUUGGAAAUGCUUUCUUCAAAAACCACUUACACACGUAAGCUCUUCUUAUAUUUUUCAUAAUAAUGCAAGUGCUUUUGGAAAAAACACGAGAGGUGUUUCGCAUGUGUUUUUUUCAAAAAGCACUUCAAAUAUUUUUUCUACCUAAAAAUCCAUUAAAGCUCCUUUACUUGUUUUAAAGAAACUUCCAAAAUAAUAUUUAAAGAAAAAUUACUUCUAGAGAGAAUUAUAACAUGCUAAUUGAGAGAUCCCGAAACUAGAAACUAGAUGGUUAUAGUGAAGCGUGACCUUAACUGCUUAAUUAGGUGAAAAAAGCCAUCAAAUUUGACAAAAAGUCUGAUGAAAGGUCAUAGCUGUAUGCAUAAUCCGUAGAUGAGAUAAUCAUGAAACAAUACGUGGGGAAUCAACACAGCCUUAUCAUCGUCAAAAAAUUUUAGUGUUCUAGAAACACGAUCUGAUAUACAAAAUGUUUUAACAUCAAUUGAACGUUUUGGAAAUUUGUGGAUAGAAACCAAAUGGAAUAUGCUUGCUAGCUGCUAUAUACAUCUUGGAUUUUAGCUGAGGUGGCCAUUGGCCAAGGACUGCGAUCUAAUCACGAUGCUUUAAUUUCGCAGUACGAAAAAAAUUUCAGAUAAAAUUUAGAACAUGUUUAGGGAGUGCUUUCAAAUCACUGAAAGCGAUUUUAGAAAGAAAAAAAAUGUUUAUACAACUAAUUUUUAAUAAAAAUGCAAGUUAAUUCUCUAAAAGUAUUGAAAUUAGUGCUUCUUUGAUGAAUUACUUUAAGUGCUUUUGGAGCUCAAAAAUAUUUUCUCAAGUGGUUUCAGUUAUUUAAAAACACUUUCUAAACGAGUUAAUGACUCGUGUAUGGCAACAUUUAGCAAGUAAUAGCUCUCAUGAAUUGGAUUGUGGUGAUGUGAAAAUGGGUUUGGGUAAGUUUAGUUUAGAUCAGUCACCAGUGUAUAAAAUAUCCAUGAAAUUGUCGAUAUUUUCAUCAAAAUAUCCUUAAAAUUUAGGGUCCAUAAGGAAAAGAAGGGUAAAAUAUAAAUUUCAACCUAUAUUGGCGAGAUAUAAGAAAACAAUGAAUAUCGACAAUAUUUACCAAUUAACUACAAAAUGUUGCUAAAACCUAUUGCAGAUUUUGAACUUUAGAAUUUUUUUUUUAUAAAUUUUUUCUUUAAUUUCGACUAAAUCUGAAUGAGUUGAUACUUGAUAUGCUUAUCCCAUUGUAAAUUUCCAUCAAAGACUUUCCAACUAAAUCGAUAUUUUAAACAUUGGUUUAGACCCACAUGUUUAAUAUCCAGUGCAUGCAAAUAGAAUGUCAAAUCUUUCAGAAAAACUUCAGUAGGACUGCCACUUAAGGGCAACUAGCAUAUUAAAGAGACCAAUGCAAGGUUGGAUGAGACUAAAAUACAUAAGAGCAAUUCCACCGGGGACCAAAUGUCCCAGCCUCCAGUCCAAAAACCAAGCCAGGCCUCUGUCAAUCAAGUCCACCCCAACAAACUGACUGGUACCCAGCCCGAGUUGGGCAAGAGCCCAGCCCAAAAGAGACUGAGACAGAAGCCGGGGAAGAAGCCUGGCGCGUGCACUUCACGUAGCCGUUUGGCGAGUGCCCGACAAGCUUUCAGACGCCGGGGCCCGCGUGCAGGCGCUGUCAGUCCCCCCCCCGAGUUGCGACGUGGCUACCUCUCUGCCGUUGGAUUUCCAACGGCUAGUUUUCUAGACCGUUGGAUUUCCAACGGUAAAAAAAUUUUAAAUUUUACUUUUAAACUAGACCGUCGGAUCAAAGAUCAACGGUCCACGUUUUUUUCACAAAAAGUAAAUUAAAAAAAAAAAAAAAGGGCCCAACGGUCAGAAAUAUGACCGUUGGCCACGUGGCAACUCCCUAGCUCUUGGAUUUGAAUAUUUUUCAAAUCCAACGGUCCAGAUUAAUUAACUAUAUUAAAAUUCAUUAAAAAUUAUUAAAAAAUACAGAAAAAUUAUUAAAAAAUACAGAAAAUUUUAAAAAAAUUACAGAAAAUUUUGAAAAAUGUUAAUUUUUUUUCCUAUAAAUACCUAACCCUCAUCUUCUACCUUUACACCACAUUCCAAUAUUUUCUACACUUUCUAUACUAUCUACAUUUCAAAAUAUUUUCUACACUUUAAGAGAAAAAAAAUGUCUUCGUGGAAGCUCAUUGAAGAUGUUACGUUGUGUGAAUGUUGGGUUCACACUACUCAUGAUCCGAUUACGGGUAAUGAGAUGGAUAAGCGAGAGAUGUGGAGUAAAAUUACGAAAGCGUUUUGUGAUGUACAUGGAGAAAACGCCAGAACUAGUCAAGGUCUUCAAGGUCGUUGGAAAAAACUCAAUGCAUCAUUUACUUGUUGGAAAAACGCCAUCUCUCAUGCUUCCGGUAACCUCCGUAGUGGGACAAGUUUAGCGGAUCAGGUGACAAUAUUUUUUAUUUAUUUAUAUGCAUUCCACUCACAUUAAUAUUUUGAUUUAUUUAAUUUCGUAUGUAAUUUUUAUCUUAUUUCUUAUGUAAUUUUUAUUUAAUUUCUUAUGUAAUUUUUAUUUAAUUUCUUAUGUCAUUUUUAUGUAAUUUAUAUGCAUUCCACCCGUAUUAAUAUUUUGAAUUUAUUUAUUUGUGUUACACCCGCAUUUUUUAACACUAUGUUAUCCCACUUUUUUAUAGACACUACAAGCUCAAGCAUUCUACAAUUCAAAGAACGGGAACAAAUCAUUCAAUAGAUUGGAAUGUUGGCAAAUUGUCAAAGAUUGCCCUAAAUACAAAAUUGUGGCAACUGGUCCAGAAGUUGUCAUGCACGGUAUGGGUCUACAUAGUUCUCCAGAACCAGACAUGGCCGAACAAGAAGCCGACACAUUUCAAGACACGGAAGGGACGGCUGAACAAGUGCCCGAGACCCAACCGACUCGUCAGUCCCUAAGGCCUCUAGGUAAAAAGGCGUCAAAGAAAAAAGGUAGUUCUUCCAAAAAAUGACUACACUAAAUAUAUGGAGGAACUUGCUCGCCAAGGUGAACUAAACUUGGCACGAGAAAAGGCUAGAGAUGAGGAAAAAGUUGCUGCUAUGGCAGCAAUAUUAGCAGCUACUGAGGCCCGUGAUGCGGCGGCUGAAAGACAAAGAGAAGUAGUUAAUCGAGAGAACGAGCUGGUUAGAGAAGCACUUCAUCGAGAAAAUGAAUUGCUUCGAGAAGAAAGGAUGGCUCAAGCAUCGUGAUCGUGACACUAUGAGCAAGUCUCUAGUAGGACUGUCUCCGAAUUCUAAAUAUUUUUUAGACAUCGGAAAAAGAGAUGCCAUGCGUAGGAGGCGUGCAAGAGAUGCGGAAACAAGUCAAGGGGGUUCUAGCUACACAAAUCAUGGCAACCAAGAUCCUAGCACCACAUAUCCUAACUCGAGAGACUUUAUUUAAUUUCUUAUGUAUUUUUAUGUAUUUUCUUUCUUUUUUCUAGUAGAACUUUAUUUAAUUUCUUAUGUUUUUUCUUUUUUUUAGGUUUGAACUUUAUUUAUUUUCUUAUGCAAUUUUAAUGUAAUUAUUUAUUUAAUUUCUUUUGUACUUUAUUUAAAACACAUGAAAUAAGAUUACACAUAAACUCACCAAAUAAAUUUAAAAACAAAACACAUUACAUAGAAUUACAUAAACUCACCAAAUAAACUUAAAAACAAAACACACUACAUAGAAUUACAUAAACUCACCAAAUAAACUUAAAAACAAAACACACUACAUAGAAUUACUUAAACUUAAAAAAAAAUACAAUUUAUUCUUCAACCACAAGCCUCAUUCUAAUUAUCUUCGCCUCCAUGCAAUCCCCACUGGUGCUCAAUCAAGUCAUUCUGGCGGGUUACGUGCCAGUAUGGCUCUUGCACAUUAGUGUACCGCUGAACGAUCAAUUCAUUGUAACGUCCAUCACGUUCCAACGGCUCGUGUUGCACUGGAUCUUCGGUCCCAUCAUGAGCACAAUAAAUACGUGUUCUUGAGUUGUUCAUCGGAUCUGGCUCAUAUUCAUCGACGGCAUCAUAAUCAUACUCAUCUUCAACAAUCAUGUUAUGGAGAAUAAUACACGUCAUCAUGAUGGAUCGAAGAGCCUCGACAUCAAACAUUCUAGCUGCAGCCCUGACAAUCGCCCAACGAGCUUGCAGGAUACCAAAACAACGCUCGACAUCCUUCCUACACCCUUCUUGACAUUUUGCAAAGUGUUUUUCCUUUUCAGUCUGUGGAUGUGGCACUGUUUUGACAAAUGUUGACCACCUUGGGUAAAUGCCAUCUGCAAGGUAGUAUGAUCCCUCGUAUUGGGUACCAUUAACCCAAUAUGUGCAUCUCGGCGAGUUUCCUUGCAGCAGUUCGUCGAACACUGGGGAUUGGGCAAGGACAUUUAGGUCAUUUUGAGCUCCUGGAACACCAAAAAAAGCAUGCCAAAUCCAUGUAUCAAAUGAAGCCACCGCUUCCAAAAUGAUGCUUUUGGCUCCUUUUCUGUCGCCAUAUGCUCCUUGCCACGCACUUGGACAGUUUUUUCCAAGUCCAGUGCAUGCAGUCGAUGCUUCCAAUCAUGCCAGGGAAGCCUCGCAUCUCACCCUUCCUCAGAAGCCUUCGCAUGUCCCUUGACGUGGGUGUCCGGAGGUACUCUUUGGUGUAGAGGGCUUCAAUUGCAGAGCAAAACCGCAUCAGGGACUCCAGAACAGUUGUUUUUCCCAUCCUCGCGAUCUCAUCCACUUGAUCUGCAGAUGCUCCAUAUGCAAGCAUUCGCAAGGAUGCCGUAAUUUUUUGCUCGGGAAUAAGACCUAGAACAUGAAAAGCAUCCUCUUUUUGCACAAAGUAUGAAUCAUUGUUGCAAAUAUCACUCAUGAUUUUGUUGAACAAAUGUCGUUGCAUUCUAAAACGCCGUCUAAACAUGAUCAGGGAAUAUGCUAUUGGGAAUAAAAUAGUCUUCCAAUAGAUUUUUACCUCGUUUUUCCCUUUUUCUAUCGAGGUUUGCAACACGUCUUGGUUUGGCUAUCUGACCCACGGCUUCCAUGACACGGCGGGAAUGUGAGGCCUUCUGCCUUCUAUGGUGAUCAUCCUCAUCCUCCUCCAUGAAGAAAGCCUCAUCUCCACCUCCACCUUCCUCGAGAUUGGCCAAUUCUGCCUGUUGUGCCAACAACCUUUGUUGUUGCUCUUGCAACUGCUUAUACACCCUUCUUGAAGAAGACAUUGUAAUAAGAACUCAAGAUUUGAAAAUGAUGAACAAGGAUUCUGAGCUAAAAAGAAGGAUUGAGCUUGGUGUGAGGAUGGAUGUAGGGAUGUAGGGUUUAUAUGGACAAAAAAAGAAAGGAUGAGGUUCUGGACAAUGCCACGUGGCACUACGUGAUUGGUUGAAAAUCUUAUCGAAAUCUUGGCUAAAUUAUUGUAAACCGGAAGUGACACGUGGCGUGUCAGGAUUGGUCGAGAAUAUUAUCGAAAAUCUAUCCACAAAAUAGUACGUUCGGAUAAUGACACGUGGCAUGACGUGAUUGGUUGAAAAUCUUAUCGAAAUCUUGGCUAAAUUAUUGUACCAUGGAAGUGACACGUGGCGUGUCGGGAUUGGUUGAAAAUAAUAUCGGAAAUCUAUUCACAAAAUAGUACGUUCAGAUAAUGACACGUGGCGUGACGAGAUUGGUUAAAAAUCCUAUCCGAAAUUAAAACUAUUUUAUUUUUUUAUUCUUUAUUUUAAAUGGGUUAAAAAUCUUAUCCGAAAUAAACUUAAAAAAAAAACACACCAAAUAAAUGCGCUGGGUGCUAGCGCAUUUUUUUAGGGGUGGAGAUGCCUUGGCCUAUUACUGUUCACUCCAGUCUAUUACUGUUCAUUUGAGUGGAUAAAUGCGCUGGGUGCUGGCGCAAAGUCCACAGGGGUGGAAUUGCUCUAAAGUCUCGUGUUUUGAUGAGAUGUGGUCUACAAAUGAUAUAGCAUGUGCCCUACGAAAAAUGAGAUCGGAUUACCUAUUUGAAGCUUCUCUAGUAUGAAAAAUUCAAGAGGGAUGUGACGGGUCCGGAAAAUAAAAAAUCACACAUUUUUAUUAAUAAUUUUUUUGUUCGAAUUCGGAAAUGUAUAGAACUGAACAAAUGGAAUAGUAGCUCAGUGAUACCAACAAUUUCAUGUUGCAAAUCACAAAACAAAAAAAAAGGAACUGUUUUACACAAAAUUAAUGACAAUUAGAGUUGAACAACAGAAGCUUGCACUUUAAACGGUUUUUUUCUGCUGCUUUUGGUAUGUAUAUGCUUUUUCCAUGUCUCGAUGUAGUGCCAGUUCACAGGUCAUCAUCCUGGAACAAUGCUUUCGAAACAGAGCCGCACGGCUGGCUACUGUAUUCUCGGUAAUCUUCAUCGUCAUCCCAGCUGCGUUGCGAGCAUGAACGUUUGAUUCCUGUCAUUGGGGUUUCACAUACUCUGUCAUCACAUGAACCUCUAUGAUCCUUCCUUUUAAACAGCUUUCGAAGCGGAUUUAACUUUGGUUUCAAUGGUUUCAGCUGUUUUGGGGCCCAAACUCUCUGCAGAUCGGGCAUCCAUCUUGUGGAUGAAGCGAAUCUCCAAGCCCUCUCUCUCCUCUCUUGAGCUUCAAGUAACUUGCGAGCAUGGUCGUCGUUUUGUUUGAUCUCUUCAGCGCUCGGUCUUCCAAUAUCAGUUUUCAGCGGACGAAGAGACUCACCUUCUGCUGAUAAUGAGUCCCAGAUUCUAUAACUUUCAUCCACUUCGACACUCUUUGGUUUUUCUUUACAGGAUUGAUUGCUAUCCUCACUGUUGAGUAAACUAAUAGGGAGUUCUUCCUCAUCGGCAAACAGUAGCAAAUCCAUUUUUGUAUAGAUUUUGUGAACCACAUCUUCAAGUGUCUCACAGUACCUGAAAAUGUCCAAAUUCAAAGAUUAAUCUACCUGCUUAAUUCUCCAUCUCAAACAAAAAUUGAUCACCUGCAUUUGUACAUCAGGAAACUAAAUGCAGGAAUGAAUUAUUUAAGCUCCAUCAUUUCAAGGAUCAUACCGUAGGCUAAUAUGCUAUUGCAGAAGUUGUAUAAACAUAUUCCUCACUCGUUCAGAAAAACAUGCCUACGAUGUGCGGAUAACUGGCUUAUACCCUGUAAAUCUACACUAAUAAGGAAACACACUUAACUCAUCUAAGAUUAUAAAGAUAAUCACUUUCCUUUUUUAGCAUUAUUGCAAAGGUAAGUAGGAGAGCAUUGGAUGGGCAGUAAUAUCCCACAGGAAAGUGGAAACAGUGGCACCGGAAAUGUGUAUUUGAUGAGACAUGAACGGUAGACUGAAUGAGUGUCGAGAAAGCCAUAACGACUCGGUAAAACAUCCAUUAUAUAAAGUAAAGAAUAAUGCGAAAGGCAGGGGUUUUCAACUCUGGUACAGAUUUAUUACCUGCUUUUUAUGAUCCUUUCAACAUAAUCAUCUACACUCCAGUCACCAAAGAAGCCCUCCAGAUGACAUCGAAUUUUCUCCAAAAACGAGCAAAUCUGUUUUACAAACUUCUGUUUCAUAGAUUCUGCAAUACUUGCACCAACCUCUGAUUGUAGUAUCUCCAUACGGAAAAAUAUCUGCAAUUCAUAUCUAGUACUAGGUGAAGGAAAAGUGUAAAUGUAAUUGGAGACAAAUUUUCAUAUUGGUAGAGUUAUAACUGGAUUAAUGCAUAAUACAGAAGACAGUUCAGUUAUAAAUGAGAAAGGAUACUCUCGAACUAUUUUUCCAGAAGUCAGUCCUUCAGAUUCUGAAUCGGAUGCUUUAACAAACGGGCCGGAGCUUUUCUGCCUUGCAGUGAUAUCCUUGGGAUCUCUCAGUAGAAGUUUUAACACCUCAGCAGAAACCAAAUCAUCAGUAGCACCAGAUUUUACAAGGGAAGUUUGACUCUCUGAAAGGGCUUCUGUUUCCUGCUUUUUAUUUAACCAAUAUAUGGAUGAAUUCACAAGCCGAUAUGCCAAUGCCCCCAAGUCUACUGCUUCAUAUUCAAGCCCCUGUUGUAUCUUGUUGGAUAGACUACUGAAAAAAUCUUCCGACGUUUCUGAUCUAAAUUCCAAAGCAGCUUCAUCUUGUAUGCCAGAAGCCACAGUCAAAGAAUUUUCUCCAAUGGAAGGAGAUGAAGAAAUUGGCUGUUCACUUUCAUGGUGCAAGUUAUCCAACCUAUUGUCCAUCCCUUUUCUAUUGAGCUGGUCUGCCUGGGAUUCUUUCUCCACUAUUAGACCACGAUCGCUAGACUUCUUAAUUUGUUUCAUCCAGCAUUUCAGAAAUCGUAUCUUUUUUGAGUUAUAACAUUCCCUGGCAAAGUAAACCUCUUCCAAACCUAUCUCUGAGUGUUCAAAUGCUGCCUUGUAGAAGGCACUCCAUGUGAGAUCUUGUAGCAACUGUGAAUUUCUUUUGUUAUUUCUCUUCCUUCCCUCCUUGCCUGCAGAAUGCUUAUUGGAUGGCCCAGUUUGGUCCAAAUCAGCAUUCGGUUCGCAAAUCCCAUUCUUCAUAUUUCGACUUGAUUGGUCUGCUUUUGCUCCACCAAUAUCAUGCACUUUUGUCUGAGGGUGAAAUCCUUCAUCCACAAUAAACAGCCGAGCCGAAGAAACUGUGAAAGGUUUGAGAAUUCCGGUAGACGAUACACCACUGUCACUUGAAAGAGACACUAAUGCUCCAUGACCAUUCCUAUAUAAGAAACUCAAGAGAAUCUGCCAAAUGGGUGCUGACUUUCUCUUUGCAUUCUCACCCAAGUCCACUGCUACCACUUCUAGAACCUUAUCUGCAUAAUAAUUGCCAGAACUUUCUUUUCCAUCUUCACCAGGUUUUCCCAAAACAUCACAGACAAGGACUGGAUCAGAUAAGUGCCCCUUGAAUUUCAGAAACUCAUUGUACUUUUGCAAAGCCUUAACCUGGAACUUUGUCACGCCUUUGACAAAAUACCCCCAGAACAAUUCCUUCAGUUUACCACCCUUUGUUUGUGAAUUCAUGAUUUCUAGGGAAAAGAAAGCAUCAUCAGCUGCAUUUCUAGGCAACUUCUUCAAAUCAACCAAUUGAAGAUCACAAACCUUGCAUUCCAAAGGCUUCCCACUUACAUCUAAGAUCUCGAGACUCAACUGCGCAUUGACUUUCUUAUGACUAUCAUCACAACCGAAAAACUUGGAUGAAAUCCCUAUCUCGGGAUAAAUCAAACCAAAGGAAACAAGAGCAGAGCCAAGAAUAAUCCAACCAGUCGAGCAAAAUCCCCAUCCCAAACUCCUAACCCCACUCUCGAAAAACCCAAAUCUCGUCUUAUCCUCAUCGUUCCCAACCUUACCCUCACCACAUUCUAAUUCAUACCUGACAUCAACCCAGCUACACUGAAUAUCUCUACUCACAAAUGCUUCAUUCACAUUCUCAAAGAAACCCCUAAAUCUCUCGGAAAACGCUUUCACAUUUUCCAAAGACUCGUCACCCACACCCACUGUUAGGUCACAACUUCUAAAUUCCCUUUCUCGACCUGCUAGUAGCUGAUAGUAAUGGCGGUGAGUGAGUGGGAAGGAAGAUAGAGAGAGAUAGAAAGUUUCUUGUAAUAUUGUUUUUCUAAUUCAAUCCUGCAGAACAAUGCCACAAUUUGGUUCUUAUACAACCAUCCUUCUCACAAUGCCAGCUGGCUACUAACAAUAACGACAUGUAGCUAAAUAGUUUUCCACUAUUAUUCUAACCACUAUUAUAAUCAUAACACUACCCCUCCCUUACAAAAUAAACCUUGUCCUCAAGGUUAGAAUUAAAGACUGAAAUCAGGAAAUCUGGCAGCAAACUCGUCAUAAUCCUCCCAUGUAGUUUCGUCCUCUUUGUUGUUCUUCCACUGGAUUAACAACUGAACUCCAGCAGCUUGGCCCUUCUUGUAGACCCUCAUUUGUAGCACCUUGAGUGGUUCGAGUGGUAGCAACCCAUCAUCAGUGACAGUAGGCAAGAAUGGAGUUAUGUGACCUUGUCUCCCAAGUGCUUCUUCAAGCAACUAACAUGAAAGACUGGAUGAAUUUUUGAAUUCUCAGGCAGUUUCAAUCGGUAGGCAACCUUCCCAAUAUUUUCCAAAACCUCAUAAGGACCAUAGUACCGGGGAUGAAGCUUAUGGUAAGCAUGAGAUGACAAAGAUUGCAAUUGAUAGGGAAUUAAUUUCAAAUACACCAAAUCUCCUUCCUCGAAAACCCUCUCACUCCGAUGCUUAUCUGCUUGUGUUUUCAUCCGGUUCUGAGCUACUAGUAAAUUGGUCCUGAGCAUUGCUAAUAUUUUGUCCCUAGUUAGCAGCCCUUGCUCCACUAUAUCCAACUUAGCAGUGCCAAGCUCAUAAGACGCGAUGUGUGGUGGUGGAUAACCAUAGACCACUUCGAAGGGGGUGAACUUUGAGGAAGUGUGGUAGGAAGUGUUAUAGCUCCAUUCUGCCCAUGGAAGCCAGUGGAGCCACUUCUUAGGUUGACAGCUAGUGAAGCAUCGCAAGUAAGUUUCAAGGCACCGAUUCACCACCUCUGUCUGGCCAUCACUCUGUGGAUGGUAACCCGAGCUCAUACACAACUUGGAGCCUUGCAACUUAAAAAAAUUCUUUCCAAAAAACACUCAUGAAAAUGGUGUCCCUGUCACUCACAAUGGUAGAGGGCAUCCCAUGGAGUUUAAACACAUUAUCAACAUAUUCCUGAGCUACCAUGCUUGCCGUAUACGGAUGUGCUAAGGGGAUGAAAUGAGCAUACUUGGACAGCCUGUCUACGAUUACCAGGAUCACUGAUUUGCCUUUGCACAGAGGUAAACCAGUGAUGAAAUCCAUGCUUAUAUCCUUCCAUACAUGUGUAGGGAUCGGCAGAGGUUGAAGUAAUCCGGGAGGGGAAAUGGUUUCAUACUUAUUUUGCUGGCAUUCCCGACAUUCAGCCACCCAUGACCUGAGAUCUUUCUUCAUUCCUACCCAAUAGAAGCCCCUCUUCAAUAUCUGAUAAGUCUUUAGAACCCCUUUCAUGGCCUGCACUUGGAGAAGAGUGAUGUUCCUCAAAGACCUUCCUUUUCCAACUUGAAUCUGGGCUAAGCACGAUCCGUCCUUUGUAUUUGAGGAAACCGUUGUCUAAAUGGUACUUGGACAGAUUGGGGUCAAUUGCAGCAGCUUAAGAAUAUGCUAACACCUUCUGCACCUUGCUUUGAAUCCAACUAUCUUGUUCUAACCCUCUCCGAAGUUCAUCUAGCCACCCGAAGUAGGGGUAUGUGAUAGCUUUGCACUCCAAUAAGUCACUGAGAGGUUUCUCUUGUAAUUGAGACGAACCAACUACUCGAGAUAAGGCAUCAGCCAUUAUGUUGUCAUUGCCUUGCCUAUAUUGUAUCUCAUAAUCAAAUCCCAACAACUUGGCCACCCAUUUCUGUUGGAACGGGGUAGUAGUUCUUUGACUCAGAAAGUAUUUCAAGCUGCUAUGAUCUGUCUUUAUGAUGAAAUGGCGCCCUUGAAGGUAGUUUUGCCAUUUUUUGAUAGCACUAACAAUGGCAAUCAACUCUCUUUCGUAUGUAGACAAUGCUUAAUUCCGUGGUCCCAAUGCUUGACUUGUGAAAGCUAUAGGUCUGCCAUUCUGUUGCAACACAGCCCCUAUUCCAUUGCCAGAUGCAUCACAUUCCAAAGUGAAGGGAAUAGCAAAAUUGGGUAAGGCUAAUAGCUGCGGAGAAGUCAUUGUUCUUUUUAAUGCUUGGAAAGCUGCCGUGGCUUCAGGGGACCAAUUGAAACCAUCAUUUUUUGUUAGUUGAUACAAGGGUUGACACACCUUGCCAUAACCGGGGAUGAAUUUUCUAUAAUACCCUGAGAGCCCGAGAAAUCCCCUCAACUCUUUGACAUUUUUCGGUAUCGGCCAAUCUAUAAUUGCUUGAAUUUUAGUAGGAUCUGCAGCCACCCCAUCACGAGAGACGAUGUGCCCCAAGUAUUCCACCUGUGAUUGGCCAAAAGAGCAUUUCGAUUUCUUCACUGCUAAUUGGUGUUUCUGUAAUAACUCCAAAGUUUGGUGCAAGUGUGAAAGAUGGUCCUCCCAGGUCUUGCUGUACACCAAAAUGUCGUCAAAGAACACCAAGAUGAAUUUCCGGAGGUAAGGCUUAAAAAUGUCAUUCAUAAGGGCUUGGAAAGUGGCAGGAGCAUUUGUAAGACCAAAGGGCAUGACUAAGAAUUCAUAAUGCCCUUGGUGAGUUCGGAAGGCAGUCUUUUCCACAUCGGAGGGACAUACGGAUCUGAUGAUAUCCAGACCUAAGAUCAAGCUUAGAAAAAUACUGAGCGCCAUGCAAUUCAUCUAACAAAUCAUCCACUAAUGGAAUAGGAUAUUUAUCCUUAAUGGUAAUGCUGUUCAAUUCACGAUAGUCCAUGCAAAGCCUCCAAGUGCCCUCCUUCUUCUUGACCAAGAGAACUGGAAAUGAAAAGGGACUAUGACUUGGCUGGAUGAAUCCAGCAUCUAAAAGUUCUUGCACAGCUCGUUCAAUCUCAGUUUUUUGCAUAGGACCAUAAUGGUAUGGUCUAAUACUCGGAGGCUUGGAACCAGGAAGCAAUGGAAUCUGGUGAUCAUGAGCCCGUGGAGGUGGUAAGGUAGUAGGAGGCUUAAAAACCGUUUCAAAUUGCCUGAGCAUACCCUGCAGCUCAAUGAGUUGCUGGGGAUUCAAGUUGGAUGCCUCCAACGGAUUAGUUUCCAUUGAAUACAAUAAGACGCCCCAAUUAGAGUAUUUAAACUCUUUUUCAAGCUGUUGACAAACAGUAUCCUGUACCAAGUACGCUGGAGCAGUGGAAUGAACAAGUUUAUAGUGGUCUUUUCCCACAGAAAAUUCCAUGGUUAAGUUGUGAAAAUCCCACAAAACUGGACUCACAGAUGAGAGCCAUUUCACACCCAAUACAACAUCGCAACCCCCUAGAGGAAGUGCGUAGAGGUUAGUGUGGCAGCGAUAUGCACCCAAUUCCAAGGGAAUUUGUUGGCAACAGCCUUGACUUCGGACUUUACCCCCAUCGGCAAUCAUGACAUCGAAGGGUUUGGUGGUGUGACAAGGCCACCCGAGCUGCUUAAGCAACCUAGAAUCCACAAAAUUGUGGGUGCUACCAGAGUCAAGUAGUAUGGUAACAGGUAGAGUGUGAAGCACACCAGCCACUUUCAUGGUUUGUACCGUGGAGGGCUCAGUAGUGCCAUAGAACGCACAAGCACUCAACUCCAUGCUUGAUAGGGAAAGAUCAAUAGGCUCCAGUAAUUCACACUCUGUAGGUUCCAGCAAUUCACACUCGGUAGGCUCCAACUCAUUACAAACAUCAAGCAUAAGGAGCUGUUUAUUAUGGACACAUUUGUGCCCUCGAACCCACUUUUCAUUACAGAACCAACACUCGCCCUUGUCCUUCUUCCGUUGAACUUCCUCGGGGGUAAGUUUCUUAUAAGGGAGGGUUUGAGGAUGAGGCCUGGUAAGGGAAGGUAGAGGUAAGGCGAGAGGAGGUUUGAGUGGGGGAUGAGGUUUUGGGGGAGAUGGUUUCAAGUCCGUGAGUUUAGCAUUUAAUUGGGCAGCAAAGGAAAUGGCCUCAUGAACUGAGGAAGGGCGAAGCAAUUUAACAUCGUAACGCAAUUCCUUCUUGAGACCCCCCAGAAAGCAACUCUUUAAGAGAAUAGGACCAACAUCAUAGGUUCGAGUGGCAAGGCGCCGAAAUUCCACAAUAUAAUCACGAAGAGGGCCGGUUUGGCGGAGUUUGAAUAGCGACUCAGUGCAGUCCUCAAACUCCGGUGGACCAAAUUCCUGGCACAAAGCAGUCGUGAAUUCACCCCAGGUGGGAGUGGAAUGUACACAAUCGCGCCAACGAAACCAGUACAGCGGCUCAUUCUUGAAGUGGAAGGAGGCGGUCAAAACCUUCUGAUUCUCCGGAGUGUGAUAAUAAGCAAAAUAUUGUUCGGCCUUAUAGAUCCACGCUGAGGGAUCAUCACCGUCGGAGAAACGGGGAAAAUCCAGACGAUGUGACCGCUGCGGGCGAGGAGUAAAACCGCCGCCUUCAAAAGAAUCACGGCGCUGAAACCGUGGAGUGUCGAGACAACGAAAAUCGCCAUCAUCGGUCACAAUGGGAGGAGGAAUAUGUGGAUCUGGCACUAGAGGUGGUGGUGCAGUCGAAGAGCCAGCACCGCCUUGAGGACCAGGGUCGCGAUGGAGAUGCUCCAGGAGAAGGGCGAAUUUGGUUUCGAGAGCGGUGAAGCGGGUGUCGGAAUUGGCGUUGGAAGUCUGGAUCAGCUGAGGAAUGGCUCCCAUGGCUUCCAGAGUAGCUUCCACGGCGGAGAGGCGCGAUUCAACAGUGGACAUUCGAGAAUUUGUGGUGUGGCGGGGCAUACAAGAGGGAGACUCAGGAUCGAGAGGCUGAUACCAAUUGUUAGGUCAAAACUUCUAAAUUCCCUUUCUCGACCUGCUAGUAGCUGAUAGUAAUGGCGGUGAGUGAGUGGGAAGGAAAAUAGAGAGAGAUAGAAAGUUUCUUGUAAUAUUGUUUUUCUAAUUCAAUCCUGCAGAACAAUGCCACAAUUUGGUUCUUAUACAACCAUCCUUCUCACAAUGCCAGCUGGCUACUAACAAUAACGACAUGUAGCUAAAUAGUUUUCCACUAUUAUUCUAACCACUAUUAUAAUCAUAACACCCACAUUCGGGAAUUCUGUCAAACAGUUUGCAGACACACAGACGGGCGAAAACAGAACUACCAAAUUAGACCUCACAGCAACCGAAUCACUAUUCGAGAACAUACCCAUCAUUGGAUCGCAGAUCACGGGGUCCCAGGCGUAGUCGUGCACGAGCUGGCGCAAGGAGACGGCGAAAUGCGGGGAGGGAAUUGAGGGUGUGGAAGAGGGAAUUGAAAGUGGGGCCGGGGAGGUGGAAAGAGAGGGAGAGAGAAGUGGGGAGCUUGGAGGAGGAGAGCAGCGGAGAGAGGGAGGAGAAGAAGGGUCUGAAGGCGAAGAGAGAGGCGGAGAGAAGAAGGAAGGAGAGGAUGGUUUUGACGGCGGCGAGGAGGGCGGUGAGAAAUGGAGCUGGGUUUUGGAGGUGGAGGAAUGGGUUGAGGUCUAGGAGGAGGACGAUGCGCACAGUGCCUGCCUAUCAUGUAAAACCAUUGACAAUGAUACAAGACAGUUUAUUUGGACCUAUAAAACUAUAUUUAUGUAAAACUAUAUUUUAUUCAAUUUCAAAAAUUAGUACAUGCAAUGACAUGUUUGAUCGUAAAAAAAAAAAAAAUGAGAAAUUUUCAGUGUAUCAGAAAUACGAAUCGGUAAAAAAUCUCUCCAAAAAUACAUAUGCAUGUUUUAUUCAAAAGGAAAGGAAUGAGGCGCCAUCAUCCCUAACACACUUUAUUACAAGUAGUAUCAUCCAUUGAGGCAGAGAAGUUAAUUAGAUGCUGUCCUUAAUGGAUGCACUAUAACCGUUGUCAUAGAACCUGUUCCAAAGCAUAACUCCUCCGUACUUGGCCGAAUUCUUAAUUGUUGGAAGGACUUGUGACUUGAGAGCAUCAGCAGGAAUAAAUCCGCUGCGCGCGGCAUCAGUAGACGCCGGUAUCCCCAAGAACACCUGGGUGGCCGAAACCGAGGCCCAUCGGUUCCAACUGCUCAAAAGAGCGUCGGCAUUACCGUCUGCAUACUGGCAUUGGGCUAGGGGGUUGUUGUAGAACUGAACCCAAACGUAGUCAAAUAAACCGGUUGGAUAGCGCCGUCUAGGUGAGUAUCCGGGAACGGGCAUUGUGGAGCUGCGGCUAAAUAGACCGUUUUUCCCUGUCCGUUGUGUCCUUUGAGUGACCUGGCGAGCUCGUCGUAGAACUGCGUACCACCCAACUCAAUGUCGAAAUCGACGCCGUCCAAAACCGCGUCCCCAAGCGGGCGCGAAUCUGACUGACCACCUAGGAA
Molecule: long non-coding RNA, 60470 nt
Filed under: Malus domestica (apple)
Lineage: Eukaryota; Viridiplantae; Streptophyta; Magnoliopsida; Rosales; Rosaceae
Description: long non-coding RNA (MDOM_LNC001224)
Source: RNAcentral